Molecule: long non-coding RNA, 67559 nt
Filed under: Triticum aestivum (bread wheat)
Lineage: Eukaryota; Viridiplantae; Streptophyta; Magnoliopsida; Poales; Poaceae
Description: long non-coding RNA (TAES_LNC018350)
Source: RNAcentral
UUCCAUCGGGCUUUCUCCUCCUCAUCAACCUUCUUCUACUACUAGUUGUUCCUAGCUAGCUGGUUGAGUGAGCUUGCUUUCGGGAGCAAGAAACGCAUGGCGGUGUCCUCGGUGCUGGCGAUCCUGCUCGACGCCUCGUGUGCCCUUGCGUCGGCGACCUUCGACAAGGAGUUCGACAUCACCUGGGGUGACGGCCGAGGGAAGAUCAUGAACAAUGGCCAGCUCCUCACGCUGGGGCUGGACAAGGUCUCCGGCUCCGGAUUCCAGUCCAAGCACGAGUACCUCUACGGCAAGAUCGACAUGCAGCUCAAGCUCGUCCCCGGCAACUCCGCCGGCACCGUCACCGCAUACUACGUAAUUAAGCCGACAUCAUCUGCUUCUUGGUUUGCUUAGUUCGUGUGCGUGCCUAACAAAAAUCGAUUGGUUUGGUGUGUGUGAAUGUGCAGCUGUCGUCGCAGGGGCCGACGCACGACGAGAUCGACUUUGAGUUCCUGGGCAAUGUCACCGGCGAGCCGUACACUCUGCACACCAACGUGUUCACGCAGGGGCAGGGGCAGCGGGAGCAGCAGUUCCGCCUCUGGUUCGAUCCCACCAACGACUUCCACACCUACUCCAUCCUCUGGAACCCAAAGCACAUCAUGUGAGUUUGUUGAACGCCGUUUUUUCUUUCAAGAACAAUGCAGGAGCGGAUGGACUGACCGAUUUGCCGUACUUAAAUGCAGCUUCAUGGUGGACGACAUGCCGAUCAGGGACUUCAGGAACCUGGAGGGAAAGGGGAUCGCCUUCCCCAAGAACCAGCCGAUGCGCCUCUACUCCAGCCUCUGGAACGCCGACGACUGGGCCACGCAAGGAGGCCGCGUCAAGACGGACUGGUCCCACGCGCCGUUCUCUGCCUCCUACCGCGGCUUCAAGGCCGACGCGUGCGUGGUGACCGCGGCCGGCCGGCCGCGCUGCGGCGCCAGCGUGGGCACGGAGGUCGCCCCCGGCACGGGCGCGGCGGGCGAGUGGUACAACCAGGAGCUCGACCUGACGCGGCAGCAGCGGAUGCGGUGGGUGCAGAGCAACUACAUGAUCUACAACUACUGCACCGACCCCAAGCGCUUCGCCCAGGGCGUUCCCGCCGAGUGCUCCAUGUAGUCCAUGCCUGUCGAUCGCCGGAGAAAGACGGCCGGAGAUAGGGAAGAUGGGGUGUCUGUAUAAUCCGAUAUCAAUAAGGAUUGGUGACUGGGAGAUGUGUAAAGUAGCCGGUGGUAGAUUCUUCUUUGGCAUUUACGCCCAGUUCUUCUAAUCGUGAUCACGAUCAUUUCGUGUGUAAUCUAUUGCCUCGUCGUACAUACGUUCAUCACCUGUAUGCUGCUCUCGGCUCUAAUUUGGAACAGCGUCAUAUUUGUCCUUACAUCCUUACGUACGUGCGAAAUAAUACGGCCCUAUUUUCGUUCACGAUCGGGGUGAUUGUCCGAUGAAAAGACCUACCCACGAAUGGAUUGGCACAAGCAAAAUCAUUUUAUUCUGCUUCGUCCAUUGGGUACGCCGCACGGUACGUGUAAGGUGAAGGGAGCUCGGUCAGUGCAGGGGAUGGGCGCACGGCAACUGACCGCAAGGCGACACGAAGCGCGACAGAGGAAAGGACAAUGGCCUCCCUUCGUAAUGAUCCCAGCCAGCUGCAGCUGCGAACCCUACGUACGUCGUCUGCACUGCCACACUGGCCGAUGGUGAAAUGCGUGUACGUUCGAAAUUGAUCAGGUUGCAGUCUUGCAGCUCUGUGAAAAAUCACGAAACUGGCCCUUUGGCCAAAGUUCAGCACAAAAUGGAUCCUUUGUUAAAAAAAAAUCAUGGAAUGGCCCUACCAGCAUGACGCCCGCGCCUGGGGCGCCAUGCUAGAUACCAUAACACUCUGGUCAAAGGCGCCAUCCGCGUCGGCGCUAACUGCCACCUCGGCCUGGACUUGGGCCCAUGACGCCUCGGCCCAGGGUGCCAUGGUCUGUACCACGACGCCCCGGCCUGGGGCGCCAUACCCCUUCACCAUAUUGCUGCCCGAGCCCUCUGCUCUCUGCUUCGUUCUUUCCCCUUCUUUGUUUCUUGCCCCUGCCAUGGCGCCCCUCAAUUUGCCCCUCCCUCUCCCCACUCAAGUGUUGUGGAUCUGAGACGAAAAUAUGUGGAUCCGGUUGUCCUUCGAAUCCCGAAGGUAUUCUCCUCCUUUCCCCCUCUUUCUAUUGGUUGAAAUCUCCGCAUUUGAUUGAUCUGGGUGAAACCCUAGUUCGUCUUUUUCUUGAAAUUAUCAUUGGAUUUUGGUGUGAUAAUGUUAGGGAUUAGUGUGAUUUAGGAUAUGUAUGAUUUAGGAUUUUUAUUGAAGUGGUAUGAAUUUGAUUAGGAUAUGUACGCACAUAUAUGUUGUAGGGAAGAAUUAGUGUAAAAUUAGGAAGGCGGAUGGAUGGAUAUCUGCAAAUAUAUGGUGUAUGAUGUUGUAGAAAAUUAUAUGCACAUCUAUGGUGUAUGGUGUUGUAGAAAAUUAUAUGCACAUAUAUGGUGUAUGGUGUUGUAGCAAAUUAUAUGCACAUAUAUGGUGUAUGAAAGAAUUAGUGUACAAAUUUUUCACAUGCACGUAUGUUUUUGCACUAGUGCGGAUAUUUGCAAAUGACAAUGGGGCUUACCAUAUAUCUUUGUAAUUUGUAAUAUGCUUCCCAAUGAAACUCGGAGUCAAGAGGCAUUAUCUACCCAACAUUAUACCUUCCAAUUAAGUCUACUCCAUCGCUUUCUUUCAUCCAAUUCAACCUUCUUCGAAGUAACCUCCUCAAGGCUAGGACUUGUGGGAAACACCAUCACUACCGGCUUCUUCUUCGGGUCACCAUACUCCGCGUCUCCCUUCUCAAAGGAGACAAAGUCCAUAGACAUGAAGUGUGCAAGGAGUACGACUUAUCAAUUCUUGAAUUUGCUAUACAUGUGAAGUUCAUAGAUAUGAUGGUUCUAUGUUUCGUAUGCACUCGCACACGCAUGACUAGUUUACUUUACGUGAUUUGGGGAACACUAGUUUCAUGAAGUUAGGCUAGAUGAACUUAAUUAGAAAAUACUAAUUAUUUCAACAAGUCAUUAGUUCUAAUACCGUACAGAAUUUCACGCAUCGAUUGACCAAUUUACCCAAAAGCAGGCAAUGUGUAUUGGAGAAGCGGAGCACCAAUUUUGCAAGAAUGAAUAACAAUUAAACUACACUGCUCUAGUAUUGUUCCUCUUUUUUUCUAGGAAACUCUAUUAUUGUUCCCUAGUACACUUGCACACUUGCAUGUCAUGGUUGUUCCCCUCGAGGCUCAAAAAGAUCCAUAAUCAGUGGUCCUGUAUUUUGUGCAGCACAAGUUGGUUUGCUCAAACCGUGAAGGAAAAAAAACAUCAUGAUUGUUGUCACCAACUCAUGCAAGAUCUUCCACAGCUGUUGACCAUAGUUUCUUAACUACCCUGUGAUUGCAAAUGGUCAUAAUUAAAAGUAAGAGUGGGGGUGGGGGGAGCAGAGCAGCUGUACUACGUAAGUUUCAUGGUAACUGGAGACCGCUAUACUGAGAGAGUACGUGGCACGGCUGGCUUGGGUUAUAGCAGCACGGUUUGGACUGAUGAAUGAGUAUUGAGUAGCCGGUUCCACUUCCAGCUUGUGCAGAUCUUUGACACUACGGGCACGGCGGAGGAAGGUGGUUGUGCCCAUAUAAAUUGGGCGCUGGUACAAUCAUACGGCUGCGGAUGAUUAACAGCAAUUACGGCUGCUGAUGAUGAUUAACACGGUGCAAGGCCCACGAAUGAAUGAACGUCGCCAUUGUGCACACACCCGUUAAUGCAUCGCAUUGCAUCGCCCCGGCCGGAGCCGGAUGCGCUCACUUAGGGCGAGCUUUUGUUGCCCGCAUCGAGCCUAACCAGGCCAGCGCGGUACAGCAUCUUUUCGGACCUCGGUUGUUUGGUUCCUCACAUACACUGUUGAGUCUGCAUAUAGCACGGUUCUUAAAGUACCCCUGGGCCUGGCCCGUUGGGAACGGCCGAAUCGGCAGUUUUCCGAGAGUCAGGCCCGAGCGAUGCUUCGAGGCGCACGUGGGUGGCUCUCUGAAGACGUGUGUCUCGAGUUAAUCCCUCUCUCUCUCCCUAAUCCUCAACCCCCUCUUCUCCCUCUACUCUAGUGCGAUCCCGUCGAUCCCGUCCGUCGGCGUCCGCGGCGACGGCGACGAUAGGUCCUCCAGGUCGAACGACCUUCCCGCUCCCGCCACCGCGGACGGCGUGGGGGUGGGGCUCACCGACGUGGCCACCAGCAGGCUUUGCAGCUCCUUGACGCUGUCGCGCGCCGCGGCCUCGCUCACCCGGAGGCACUCCAGCUCCUCCUUGUUGCACUUGACGGUGGUGUCCUUGCUCCCGACCAUCUCCUUGAGCAUGGCGUUCUCGCUCCUCGCCUCCUCCAGCGCCUCCUUGUCGAACUUGGUGUCCUUGACGGCCUGCUUCAGCUUGGCCACCUCGUGCCGCCCGGACCGCUGCGACUCGAGGAGCCGCGCGUUCUCGCGCCGGGACGCGGCGAGCUCCGCCUCCGACGACUUCAUGCACGCCGUGAACCCGACCUCCUUGCCCCGGAACGCGGCGAACGCCUCCUCGGCGUCGGAGCGGAGGCGGGCCACAUCGUCGGAUAGCGCGCGGACCUUGUCGUCCUUGAGCUUCAGGGACACGUGCAGCCGGUCCGACUCCAGCCUCGCCGUCUCCGACUCGUGCUGCGCGUGCGCCAGCUGCUGCCGCGUGGUGUGCAGCUCCGCGUUCACCUCCUUGAGCGCCAGCACCAACUUCUCCAUGGCCCGCUUGUUCUUCUCCUCAGCGGCCAGCGCCACCCGCAGCUCGCCGCUGACCCGCUGCAGGUCACGGUCGAAGCGGCCCCUUGGCUUGGCGGCGGCGACGACGACGACGCUGGCCUCGAGCCGCUGCACCGUGUCCCGCAGCGACGCGACGUCGAUCCGGGCCUCCUCCAUCGCCACGGUAGUGAGUUGGGCGCGUCCACGGCCGCCGGGAGCUGGUGGUGGGCACGAUGGGCAGUGGAAGCUCCGGCGCACUCAAAGUGUUUGACAAAUGUCAAGCCCAACCUGAUAACUGUUAUUUUUUGUUGUUAACGCUGGUAAUCAUAUGCAUGUAUGCAACCAAACGCCGGGUGAAAAUUGCAUCUCGAUGACAAGACUCCCAAUGCAGGCAACCAAUCAACUGGUCAUCUACGUUUUUGACCCUGUUUUUAUUUACUAAGGCCCUGCUCAGCCUGGCUCGUUUUUUUCCUCUAAACCAGGCCCGGCAGCGAAAAAAACCAAACACGCCCUUAAGGCGUGAGGCGGAGCGCAUCCCAUGCGCCCGGCAGGGGUCUAGUCUAGAUCGGAGAUCAAAAGUCCCCAACGCCAGGCUUGUUUAAUGGCGAGUGAGGAAGCAGUCGUACGCGUUGCCUUUCUACCCCACUUGAAUUCGCUACACCGGCCCGCCCGAUCGAUCUACUCCAAUCCAUGCUCCAAGUCGCCAUUGGCCUCUAGCCCUCUAGGCUCUAGCUAGUAGCCACCGUCUCUCUAGAUCUCCCUGUGCUGUGCCGAUCGAGCUAGCUGGCGCACGUACGACCGAAUAAAUUGAUCUGCACCCCAUCCUCUUCAUGGAGAGCUACUAGGGAGACUUGUACGAGAUCUCACACUGAGGUGAGAUCCUUAGAUCGGCCAAGAAAAAAUCAUAUUUAAAUAUUUUGAAAAAAAUCUGAAAUUACUUGACAACGUCCGUGUGGGUUAUGUCUACAACUCCAUAAAAAAAGCUCAAAACUCUAUGUACAUUUAGAGAUUCAAAAAAGACAAAUUCGAAUGUGAAUAGCAGCCUUGUCUGAAUGGUACUUUGAUACUAUUCACAUCCGAUUUUCUCUUUUUAGUUUCUAUUUAUGUAAGUUGAAAUAGGAGCUGGAUUUUUUUUGAGAUUGUGCAUCAAACAUUGAUGUGUGUCUAUAAGCCUUUUGAGAUUGUAUGAACAUGUACUUUAAAAAACAAAGAAUCGAUCUCAUAGAUCUCACCCAAUGUGAGAUCACAUACAAGUCUCCCCCGCUAUAUCUUGGCCUCACACGGCAGGCAUGUUGUGGAGUAGGCUGUACUGUAGUAACGCCAAGGAACGGGAGGGGAGUUUUGCAUGUUCGACAAGGGUCUGGAUUUUCUAAAUGUUCUUGCUCUGUGUAGGCGCCGUUGUGAUCUAGAGGACAAUACGGCGUCUCCCACACAUCCCGCCGGUACCGAAAUUUGUUCCAUGUCUGGUUUUGCACGGACAAGAAGAUAUGAAUAGAUGACCCGCGUACAAACGUGCGAGCGUCGGCUCGUCUACCUAGAAAGCGUGGCCAAUUCCUAAACCUUAGUACUUCCUUCGUCCGAAUUUACUUGUCGAACAGAUGUAUUUAGCACUAAAAUAUGUUUUGAUAUUUUAUUUCGGCGAGAACUAAAUCCAGAUGAAGACAGAUGUUCUGCUUAGGACCUCCUGCACUUAUAUAUAGUUAAAGUGAUUUAAGUUUGUACGCUUGAGAUUUUCUCAUGAAAGAGGCACUUGCCAAUAAAUGCAAAAAAUAGUGGAAGGGCACAGUACUACGCAGCUGCCUCCUCCACUAAAAAUGACUAGGGCUUCUCUGCCUCCUGUUGGCGUCGCCGCCGAUCCGCCUUGUCUCCGGCGGCUUUAGGGACAUUGCGGUGGAUCUCGGCUCUUGCCGACGAGAGGGCUCUGUUUUUACAUGUUCCUUUGAGUUUGGUUAAGUUUUGUGUCCUGUUUAGAAAGAUGACGGUGACGGUUACCAGAAGAUGGUAUAAGGUUCUCUCCGCCUAGCCUCCGUCCCGGUGGUGCGCCUAGCAUCGUCCUUGGUGGAUUUGCUCGGAUCUGAUCGUAGUUUAUCUACGUUCAUGUGUCUUCAGGUUGGAUCCUUCCGAUCUACGCUACUCUUCAAUAGCGGCGGUUGCUAUUCUGGUGCGCUGAUCCUAUGGGGCCUUAGCAUGCAUGACGACUUUCUGACUGUCUACUACAAUAAAUUUUGCCCGGCUCUGGCAAGAAAGAGGUGAUGACGACGGCGCACCUUCGGCUCGCUUCAAUGCUUCUAGUCGUCGCUAGGUGGUCCGUCUAUGGAUCUAGAUGUAACUUUUUUCUUUGUUAUAUUUUAUGUUCAUUGUACUGCCAUGAUUGAAUGAAUAGAUUAAAGAAUUUCACGUAAAAGAAAAAUGAAACCACCACGUGUUGGUACCUAAAAUAUACUUCCUCCGUCUUAAAAUAAGUGUCACGUGUUGGUACCUAAAAUAUACCUUCCCCGUCCCAAAAUAGGUGUCAUGUGUUGGUACCUAAAACAUACUUCAUCCGUCCUAAAAAAAAGUCACAUGUUGAUACUAAAAUUGACACGCUUAUUUUAGGAUGAAGAAAGUAACAAAGUACCGCCACACUGAAAAGUAGUCACGGAUUGUCAAGCCGGGACACAGAAUGACAGAAGGCUGAUCAUCCAUCCCCUGCUCAAGUGCCUCAGUGCCAUGCCAUUUGCCUGCACAACACAGGGCCAUCUCAAACGCCAUGGCUGCAAAUUAGGAGCCGUUGCAUCCAGAAAUCUGCUGCACGUCCCGAUCGAUUUUUAAUGUGCUACUGUAUGUACGCGAGCCUGUCUGGCCGUGGCAUCGCCGUGCCAACCCUCUCAUUGUCCAUCAUAAGCUACGUACAGGGCCGUCCUGCCCGCCCUGUCUCCUCUCCUCUCCUCUCCUCUGGCGCCAACUCACACGCACUACACUCACCGGGCUGGCAAAGUUCGCAGAACCAUCCAUCCAUUCGGCACGCCACGCUCGUCUCCAAACCCCUCACGCCCCGCUCGUUCCACUCACACAACACAAGCUUCCAUCCAUUUUUCUCCUCCUCCUCAACCUUCUAGCUAGCUAGUUAGUUGAGUGAGCGUACUUUUGGUAGCACGAAACGCACGGCUCGCAUGGCGGUUUCGGUGCUGGCGAUCCUGCUCGCCUCUUGCGCCCUGGCGGUGGCGAGCUUCGACAAGGAGUUCGAUAUCACGUGGGGUGACGGGCGCGGCAAGAUCCUCAACAACGGCCAGGUCCUCACGCUGGGGUUGGACAAGGUCUCUGGCUCCGGAUUCCAGUCCAAGCACGAGUACCUCUUCGGCAAGAUCGACAUGCAGCUCAAGCUCGUUCCCGGCAACUCCGCCGGCACCGUCACCGCCUACUACGUAAGAGAACCAACAUUCACUCAUUGCUCUGCUUCUCUGUCCCAGAUGACACGGUUGCUUGCUUGAUUGAUGUGCGUGCCUAACAAAACUCGAUUGGUUUGGUGCGUAUGAAUGUGCAGCUGUCGUCGCAGGGGCCGACGCACGAUGAGAUCGACUUCGAGUUCCUCGGCAACGUCACCGGCGAGCCGUACACGCUGCACACCAACGUGUUCACGCAGGGGCAGGGCCAGCGGGAGCAGCAGUUCCGCCUCUGGUUCGAUGCCACCAACGACUUCCACACCUACUCCAUCCUCUGGAACCCAAAGCAUAUAAUGUAAGUUGUUGAUCGCCAUUGCCCAACCUUCGUUUGUCAUUCCGUGGCUUGUGCAGCACAAUCACAUGGACUGACCGAUCAUGGUGUACUUAAAUGCAGCUUCAUGGUGGACGACAUGCCGAUCAGGGACUUCAAGAACCUGGAGGGGAAGGGGAUCGCCUUCCCCAAGAACCAGCCGAUGCGGCUCUACUCCAGCCUCUGGAACGCCGAUGACUGGGCCACGCAGGGCGGCCGCGUCAAGACGGACUGGUCCCACGCGCCGUUCUCUGCUUCCUACCGCGGCUUCAAGGCCGACGCGUGCGUGGUGACCGCGGCCGGCCGGCCGCGCUGCGGCUCCAGCGUGGGCACGGAGGUUGCCCCCGGCACCGGCGCGGCGGGCGAGUGGUACAACCAGGAGCUGGACCUGACGCGGCAGCAGCGGAUGCGGUGGGUGCAGAGCAACUACAUGAUCUACAACUACUGCACCGACCCCAAGCGCGUCGCCAAGGGCCUCCCCGCCGAGUGCUCCAUGUAGUCCAUGCAUGUCGAUCGCCGGAGGAUGGCGGCCGGAGAUAGGGAAGAUGGGGUCUCUGUAUAAACCCAUAUAAAUAAGGAUUGGAAAUGGGAAACUGUGUAAAGUAGCCGAUGGUAGAUUCCUCUGUCAUCUACGCCUAGUUCUUGUAAUUGUGCUCACGAUCGUUUCGUGUGUAAUAUCUUGCCUCCUCGUACGUUCGAUUUUUUUUAAAAGAGACCAUCUGCCGAACGGUAUUGUCAAAAAAGACCUCCUCCGGAUUAAAGUGACAAAAAAGAUCCCCUCGGCCAUGGCGGCAGGUGCCACGUGUCGGCAUAACCGCAAAAGGCUGGCACGACGGAACGGGCUGGCAAUGUGGGCCCCUGCCGCCUCAGGGGCUGGCGGCAGGACUGUGCCGGUAGGCCUGGCCGCCUCUCUGGCUGGCGGCAGGUCCGUGCAUGCGCGCUACGGCGCCGCUCGUCUAAGACCAGUACGGACUAAGGAACAUGCAUGCGUGCUCUACAUACCAGUGCUAAAUAAACAGGCAUGGGGGGCAAGGCAACUACGUAAGCAGUUUAAUUAAGCCAAGUCUGAUCUGCCAUGCAUCAUUUCUUGUCGUCUCGUCACAAGUUUUCAUGUUCGUUCUCAUGCAUGCUACGAAAGCAAUUCCAUCGUCUCUUUCUCUGUGUGUAUGCGGGGUAUUUCAGAUCGACGACACGACGCGACGAGGCUACCUAGCUAGGCUAGGCCACUGUGAUGUGCGCCACGACGCGACGAGGCUACCUACCUGUGCUGCCGCCUCAGCCACAGGCGGCAGGCCCCACCACCGGGCCUCUGUUACGUUGCGCGAGCAACUGCACCGUAAUCCGCGGGCCGCCGCCUGCCCGGCUGGCACCAGGGCUGGGAGGCGGUGCCACGUGUCGCCCGGCGCGCCUGCCGCCACGGCUGUGGUGGUCUUUUUUGUCAAUUUCAUCCGGAAAAUGUCUUUUUUGUCAAUUCUGUUGUGUAGGGUUUUUUUCCAACAAAAAUUCCGUACAUUCAUCACCUUUGUGCUGCUCUCGGCUCACCUUUCAAAACUGAAACAUUCGGUUCGAUGAAAAGACCUAUCCACGAUUGCAUUGGCACACUCAAAAUCAUUGGGUACGGUGCAUGCAUAGCCACACCUAAGCGCCGCGCAGUACGUGUAAGGUGAAGGGAGCUCGGUCCGUGCAGGGCAUGGGCGGACGGCCACUGACCGCAAGGCGACAUGAAGCGCGACAGAGGAAAGGACAAUGGCUUCCCUUCGUAAUGAUCCGUCAGGUCCAGCCAACUGCAGCUGCGAACCCUACCUACGUCGUCUUCACUGCCACACUAGCGGAUGGGUGAAAUGCGUGUACGUUCGAAAUUGACCAGGUUGCAGUCUUGCAGCUCUACAGUUGGGAAAUAUAGGGUGAUACAUCAAUUAGAUGCUCCCAUGAUGUCAAUUUUAAAAAAAACAAGCUUAAUUGUUUCAAAAAAAUAAAAAAAAUGUUCACAACACAUAUAUCUACAACCCAUAAAAAUUUCAGAUACAAAUUCAUACUAUACACUGAGAAAGAAAAAAGAGAAAUUCAACACCAAUAGUGUCAAUAACCACAAAACAUAUAACUAACCCUCAGUGAAAGAAAGAGGACUUUCAGCUAGGGUUUUUGGUGCCUCCAGUUGGUGCUGCCGCCGGUCUACCUCGGCUCAUGUGGUCUUAGGGUCAUCGAGGCGUGGUGGAUCCCGUCCGUUGUCGCGGGAGGGCUCUGUGUUUUCAUGCUCUUUUGACUUUUGUUAAGAUUUUUGUCCUGCUCAGAGAGGCGAGGCGGUGGCAGCUCUCGAAAGAUGGAAUAAGGUUCUCCCUGCCUAGUCCAUGUCCUGGCGGUGUAUCUAGCAUCGUCGGAGGGCAUGCGAAGGUUUGUCUCUGACGAGUAUCAUGGGAUUCGGUCGAUGUUUGUCUUUGGUGCAUCCACGUUGAUCCUGUCUUCGUUCGUCUGUGUUCAUGUGUCUACAGGUCGGAUCCUUUCGAUCUACGCUUCUCAUCAUCGGCGGCAGUUGCUCUUCUGGUGCGCUGGUCGUAUGGAGCCUUAGCACGACGACUUUCCAAUUGUCAACUACAACAAGGUUUGCCAGCUCCGAUGAGGGAGGGGCGAAGACGGUGGCGCGCCUUCGGCUCGCUCCAGUGCGAGUAGUCGUUGCUAGGUGGUCAACGGACCUGGAUGCAUUUUUUUACUUCUGGUGUUCUUUGUACUUCCUUGACAGUUGAUGAAUAGAUCAGAAGUUAUCCUCACAAAAAAAAAGAAAACAUGAACAAUGUCAAAAACUGCACUAUUCACAUUUGGUUUUGUCCUUUUUGUUUCUCUUUGUGUACUUUGAAUUUUGAUAUAAUAUUUGUAGGGCUUGUAUACAUAUGUGUUGUGACAUUCACAACACAUAUGUAUACAACCCCUUCUGUCCUAUGUUCUCACUAGUCCACACCGCCACUCGAAUGGUGGCCAUGCAGGUCUCCUCCUCCUCAGCUCCACUCCUCACCUCUCCCUCUCCUCGUCUUCCCCAUCACCGCCGCUUGGCCACGCUGCCAUGCAAAGUUCGGUCGACAUCGACGGUUGUGGGUAAUUCCUCCCUCCAUUGUGCUUACCCGGUCGACGUGGGCGGUGUGGGUAUUGAAGGAAAUAUGCCCUAGAGGCAAUAAUAAAGUAUUAUUUAUUUGCUUAUAUCAUGAUAAAUGUUUAUUAUUCAUGCUAGAAUUGUAUUAACCGGAAACAUAAUACAUGUGUGAAUACAUAGACAAACAGAGUGUCACUAGUAUGCCUCUACUUGACUAGUUCGUUAAUCAAAGAUGGUUAUGUUUCCUAGCCACAGACAUGAGUUGUCAUUUGAUUAACGGGAUCACCUCAUUAGGAGAAUGAGGUGAUUGACUUGACCCAUUCCGUUAGCUUAGCACUCGAUCGUUUAGUAUGUUGCUAUUGCUUUCUUCAUGACUUAUACAUGUUCCUAUGACUAUGAGAUUAUGCAACUCCCGUUUACCGGAGGAACACUUUGUGUGCUACCAAACGUCACAACGUAACUGGGUGAUUAUAAAGGUGCUCUACAGGUGUCUCGUAAGGUACUUGUUGGGUUGGCGUAUUUCGAGAUUAGGAUUUGUCACUCCGAUUGUCGGAGAGGUAUCUCUGGGCCCACUCGGUAAUGCACAUCACUAUAAGCCUUGCAAGCAUUGUAACUAAUGAGUUAGUUGCGGGAUGAUGUAUUACGGAACGAGUAAAGAGACUUGUCGGUAACGAGAUUGAACUAGGUAUCGAGAUACCAACGAUCGAAUCUCGGGCAAGUAACAUACCGAUGACAAAGGGAACAACGUAUGUUGUUAUGCGGUCUGACCGAUAAAGAUCUUCGUAGAAUAUGUGGGAACCAAUAUGAGCAUCCAGGUUCCGCUAUUGGUUAUUGACCGGAGAGGUGUCUCGGUCAUGUCUACAUAGUUCUCGAACCCGUAGGGUCCGCACGCUUAAAGUUACGAUGACAGUUAUAUUAUGAGUUUAUAUGUUUUGAUGUACCGAAGGUUGUUCGGAGUCCCGGAUGUGAUCACGGACAUGACGAGGAGUCUCGAAAUGGUCGAGACAUAAAGAUUGAUAUAUUGGAAGCCUAUGUUUGGACAUCGGAAGUGUUCCGGGUGAAAUCGGGAUUUUUCCGGAGUACCGGGAGGUUACCGGAACCCCCCCGGUAACUUAAUGGGCCUUAUUGGGCCUAGGUGGAAGAGAGGAGAGGAGGCUAGGGCAGGGCCGCGCCCCCCUUCCCCCCAGUCCGAAUAGGACAAGGAGAGGGGGGGCGGCGCCCCCCUUCCUUCCUCCCCUCCACCUCUUCCCCUUUCCCACUCCUAGUCCAACAUGGAAAGGGGGGGAGUCCUACUCCCGGUAGGAGUAGGACUCCUCCUAGGCGCGCCACACCUCCUAGGCCGGAGGCCUCCCCCUUGCACCUUUAUAUACGGGGGCAGGGGGCACCUCUAGACACACAAUUGAUAUACGAUAUUUUAGCCGUGUGCGGUGCCCCCCUCCACCAUAUUACACCUCGAUAAUAUCGUUGCGGAGCUUAGGCGAAGCCCUGCGUCGGUAGAACAUCAUCAUCGUCACCACGCCGUCGUGCUGACGAAACUGUCCCUCAACACUCGGCUGGAUCGGAGUUCGAGGGACGUCAUCGAGCUGAACGUGUGCUGAACUCGGAGGUGCCGUGCGUUCGGUACUUGAUCGGUCGGAUCGUGAAGACGUACGACUACAUCAACCGCGUUGUGUUAACGCUUCCGCUUUCGGUCUACGAGGGUACGUGGACAACACUCUCCCCUCUCGCUGCUAUGCAUCACCAUGAUCUUGCGUGUGCGUAGGAAUUUUUUUGAAAUUACUACGUUCCCCAACAGUGGCAUCCGAGCCUGGUUUUAUGCGUUGAUGCAAUGCACGAGUAGAACACAAGUGAGUUGUGGGCGAUAUAAGUCAUACUGCUUACCAGCAUGUCAUACUUUGGUUCGGCGGUAUUGUGAGAUGAAGCGGCCCGGACCGACAUUACGCGUACGCUUACGCGAGACUGGUUUCACCGUUGCGAGCACUCGUAGCUUAAAGGUGACUGGCGGGUGCCUGUCUCUCUCACUUUAGUUGAACCGAGUGUGGCUACGCCCGGUCCUUGCGAAGGUUAAAACAGCACCAACUUGACAAACUAUCGUUGUGGUUUUGAUGCGUAGGUAAGAACGGUUCUUGCUAAGCCCGUAGCAGCCACGUAAAACUUGCAACAAUAAAGUAGAGGACAUCUAACUUGUUUUUCCAGGGCAUGUUGUGAUGUGAUAUGGUCAAGACAUGAUGCUAUAUUUUAUUGUAUGAGAUGAUCAUGUUUUGUAACCGAGUUAUCGGCAACUGGCAGGAGCCAUAUGGUUGUCGCUUUAUUGUAUGCAAUGCAAUCGCCAUGUAAUUGUUUUACUUUAUCACUAAGCGGUAGCGAUAGUCGUAAAAGCAAUAAGUUGGCGAAACGACAACGAUACUACGAUGGAGAUCAAGGUGUCACGCCGGUGACGAUGGUGAUCAUGACGGUGCUUCGGAGAUGGAGAUCACAAGCACAAGAUGAUGAUGGCCAUAUCAUAUCACUUAUAUUGAUUGCAUGUGAUGUUAAUCUUUUAUGCAUCUUAUCUUGCUUUGAUUGACGGUAGCAUUAUAAGAUGAUCUCUCACUAAACAUUCAAGAUAAAAGUGUUCUCCCUGAGUAUGCACCGUCGCGAAAGUUCUUCGCGCUGAGACACCACGUGAUGAUCGGGUGUGAUAGGCUCUACGUUCAAAUACAACGGGUGCAAAACAGUUGCACACGCGGAAUACUCAGGUUAAACUUGACGAGCCUAGCAUAUGCAGAUAUGGCCUCGGAACACAGAGACCGAAAGGUCGAGCGUGAAUCAUAUAGUAGAUAUGAUCAACAUAGUGAUGUUCACCAUUGAAACUACUCCAUUUCACGUGAUGAUCGAACAUGGUUUAGUUGAUUUGGAUCACGUAAUCACUUAGAUGAUUAGAGGGAUGUCUAUCUAAGUGGGAGUUCUUAAGUAAUAUGAUUAAUUGAACUUGAAUUUAUCAUGAACUUAGUACAUGAUAGUAUCUUGCUUGUCUAUGUUAAUUGUAGAUAAAUGGCCCGUGCUGUUGUUCCGUUGAAUUUUAAUGCGUUCCUUGAGAAAGCAAAGUUGAAAGAUGAUGGUAGCAAUUACACGGACUGGGUCCGUAACUUGAGGAUUAUCCUCAUUGCUGCACAGAAGAAUUACGUCCUGGAAGCACCGCUAGGUGCCAGGCCUCCUGCAAGAGCAACACCAGAAGUUAUGAACGUCUGGCAGAGCAAAGCUGAUGACUACUCGAUAGUUCAGUGUGCCAUGCUUUACGGCUUAGAACCGGGUCUUCAACGACGUUUUGAACGUCAUGGAGCAUAUGAGACAUUCCAGGAGUUGAAGUUAAUAUUUCAAGCAAAUGCCCGGAUUGAGAGAUAUGAAGUCUCCAAUAAGUUCUACAGCUGCAAGAUGGAAGAGAAUAGUUCUGUCAGUGAGCAUAUACUCAAAAUGUCUGGGUAUAAUAAUCACUUGAUUCAACUGGGAGUUAAUCUUCCGGAUGAUAGCGUCAUUGACAGAAUUCUUCAAUCACUACCACCAAGCUACAAGAGCUUCGUGAUGAACUAUAACAUGCAAGGGAUGAAUAAGACAAUUCCCGAGCUCUUCGCAAUGCUAAAGGCAGCGGAGGUAGAAAUCAAAAAGGAGCAUCAAGUGUUGAUGGUCAGUAAGACCACUAGUUUCAAGAAAAAGGGCAAAGGGAAGAAGGGGAACUUCAAGAAGAAUAGCAAGCAAGUUGCUGUUCAGGAGAAGAAACCCAAGUCUGGACCUAAGCCUGAAACUGAGUGCUUCUACUGCAAACAGACUGGUCACUGGAAGCGGAACUGCCCCAAGUAUUUGGCGGAUAAGAAGGAUGGCAAGGUUAACAAAGGUAUAUGUGAUAUACAUGUUAUUGAUGUGUACCUUACUAAUGCUCGCAGUAGCACCUGGGUAUUUGAUACUGGUUCUGUUGCUAAUAUUUGCAACUCGAAACAGGGGCUACAGAUUAAGCGAAGAUUGGCUAAGGACGAGGUGACGAUGCGCGUGGGAAAUGGUUCCAAAGUCGAUGUGAUCGUCGUCGGCACACUACCUCUACAUCUACCUUCGGGAUUAGUAUUAGACCUAAAUAAUUGUUAUUUGGUGCCAGCGUUGAGCAUGAACAUUAUAUCUGGAUCUUGUUUGAUGCGAGACGGUUAUUCAUUUAAAUCAGAGAAUAAUGGUUGUUCUAUUUAUAUGAAUAAUAUCUUUUAUGGUCAUGCACCCUUAAAGAGUGGUCUAUUUUUAAUGAAUCUCGAUAGUAGUGACACACAUAUUCAUAAUGUCGAAGCCAAAAGAUGCAGAGUUGAUAAUUAUAGUGCAACUUAUUUGUGGCACUGCCGUUUAGGUCAUAUCGGUGUAAAGCGCAUGAAGAAACUCCAUACUGAUGGACUUUUGGAAUCACUUGAUUAUGAAUCACUUGGUACUUGUGAACCGUGCCUCACGGGCAAGAUGACUAAAACACCGUUCUCCGGAACUAUGGAGAGAGCAACAGAUUUAUUGGAAAUCAUACAUACAGAUGUAUGUGGUCCGAUGAAUAUUGAGGCUCGUGGCGGAUAUCGUUAUUUUCUCACCUUCACAGAUGAUUUGAGCACAUAUGGGUAUAUCUACUUAAUGAAACACAAGUCUGAAACAUUUGAAAAGUUCAAAGAAUUUCAGAGUGAAGUUGAAAAUCAUCGUAACAAGAAAAUAAAAUUUCUACGAUCUGAUCGUGGAGGAGAAUAUUUGAGUUACGAGUUUGGCCUACAUUUUAAACAAUGCGGAAUAGUUUCGCAACUCACGCCACCCGGAACACCACAGCGUAAUGGUGUGUCCGAACGUCGUAAUCGUACUUUACUAGAUAUGGUGCGAUCUAUGAUGUCUCUUACUGAUUUACCGCUAUCGUUUUGGGGUUAUGCUUUAGAGACGGCUGCAUUCACUCUAAAUAGGGCACCAUCGAAAUCCGUUAAAAUGACACCUUAUGAACUAUGGUUUGGCAAGAAACCAAAGUUGUCGUAUCUUAAAGUUUGGGGUUGCGAUGCUUAUGAGAAGAAACUUCAACCUGAUAAGCCCGAACCUAAAUCGGAGAAAUGUGUCUUCAUAGGAUACCCAAAGGAAACUGUUGGGUACACCUUCUAUCACAGAUCCGAAGGCAAGACAUUCGUUGCUAAGAAUGGAUCCUUUCUAGAGAAGGAGUUUCUCUCGAAAGAAGUGAGUGGGAGGAAAGUAGAACUUGAUGAGGUAACUGUACCUGCUCCCUUAUUGGAAAGUAGAUCAUCACAGAAACCAGUUUCUGCGACACCUACACCAAUUAGUGGGGAAGUUAAUGAUAAUGAUCAUGAAACUUCAGAUCAAGUUAUUACAGAACCUCGUAGGUCAACCAGAUUAAGUUACUAGACCAUGACGAACCUACGAACUAUGAAGAAGCGACGGUGAGCCCAGAUUCCGCAAAAUGGCUUGAGGCCAUGAAAUCCGAGAUGGGAUCCAUGUAUGAGAACAAAGUAUGGACUUUGGUUGACUUGCCCGAUGGUCAGCAAGCCAUUGAAAAUAAAUGGAUCUUCAAGAAGAAGACUGACGCUGAUGGUAAUGUUAUUGUCUAUAAAGCUCGACUUGUUGCGAAAGGUUUUCGACAAGUUCAAGGGAUUGACUACGAUGAGACCUUCUCACCCGUAGCGAUGCUUAAGUCUGUCCAAAUCAUGUUAGCAAUUGCCGCAUUUUAUGAUUAUGAAAUUUGGCAAAUGGAUGUAAAAACUGCAUUCCUGAAUGGAUUUCUGGAAGAAGAGUUGUAUAUGAUGCAACCGGAAGGUUUUAUCGAUCCAAAGGGAGCUAACAAAGUGUGCAAGCUCCAGCGAUCCAUUUAUGAACUGGUGCAAGCCUCUCGGAGUUGGAAUAAACGCUUUGAUAGUGUGAUCAAAGCAUUUGGUUUUAUACAGACUUUUGGAGAAGCCUGUAUUUACAAGAAAGUGAGUGGGAGCUCAGUAGCAUUUCUGAUAUUAUAUGUGGAUGACAUAUUGCUGAUUGGAAAUGAUAUAAAAUUUCUGGAUAGCAUAAAGGGAUACUUGAAUAAGAGUUUUUCAAUGAAAGACCUCGGUGAAGCUGCAUAUAUAUUAGGCAUUAAGAUCUAUAGAGAUAGAUCAAGACGCUUAAUUGGACUUUCACAAAGCACAUACCUUGACAAAGUUUUGAAGAAGUUCAAAAUGGAUCAAGAAAAGAAAGGGUUCUUGCCUGUACUACAAGGUGUGAGAUUGAGUAAGACUCAAUGCCCGACCACUGCAGAAGAUAGAGAGAAAAUGAAAGAUGUUCCCUAUGCUUGAGCCAUAGGCUCUAUCAUGUAUGCAAUGCUGUGUACCAGACCUGAUGUGUGCCAUGCUAUAAGUUUAGCAGGGAGGUACCAAAGUAAUCCAGGAGUGGAUCACUGGAUAGCGGUCAAGAACAUCCUGAAAUACCUGAAAAGGACUAAGGAUAUGUUUCUCGUUUAUGGAGGUGACAAAGAGCUCAUCGUAAAUGGUUACGUUGAUGCAAGCUUUGACACUGAUCCGGACGAUUCUAAAUUGCAAACCGGAUACGUAUUUACAUUGAACGGUGGAGCUAUCAGUUUGUGCAGUUCUAAGCAAACUGUCGUAGCGGGAUCUACGUGUGAAGCGGAGUACAUAGCUGCUUCGGAAGCAGCAAAUGAAGGAGUCUGGAUGAAGGAGUUCAUAUCCGAUCUAGGUGUCAUACCUAGUGCAUCGGGACCAAUGAAAAUCUUUUGUGAAAACACUGGUGCAAUUGCCUUAGCAAAGGAAUCUAGAUUUCACAAGAGAACCAAGCACAUCAAAAGACGCUUCAAUUCCAUCCGGGAUUUAGUCCAGGUGGGAGACAUAGAAAUUUGCAAGAUACAUACGGAUCUGAAUGUUGCAGACCCGUUGACUAAGCCUCUUCCACGAGCAAAACAUGAUCAACACCAAGACUCCAUGGGUGUAAGAAUCAUUACUAUGUAAUCUAGAUUAUUGACUCUAGUGCAAGUGGGAGACUGAAGGAAAUAUGCCCUAGAGGCAAUAAUAAAGUUAUUAUUUAUUUCCUUAUAUCAUGAUAAAUGUUUAUUAUUCAUGCUAGAAUUGUAUUAACCGGAAACAUAAUACAUGUGUGAAUACAUAGACAAACAGAGUGUCACUAGUAUGCCUCUACUUGACUAGCUCGUUAAUCAAAGAUGGUUAUGUUUCCUAGCCAUAGACAUGAGUUGUCAUUCGAUUAACGGGAUCACCUCAUUAGGAGAAUGACGUGAUUGACUUGACCCAUUCCGUUAGCUUAGCACUCGAUCGUUUAGUAUGUUGCUAUUGCUUUCUUCAUGACUUAUACAUGUUCCUAUGACUAUGAGAUUAUGCAACUCCCGUUUACCGGAGGAACACUUUGUGUGCUACGAAACGUCACAACGUAACUGGGUGAUUAUAAAGGUGCUCUACAGGUGUCUCCAAAGGUACUUGUUGGGUUGGCGUAUUUCGAGAUUAGGAUUUGUCACUCCGAUUGUCGGAGAGGUAUCUCUGGGCCCACUCGGUAAUGCACAUCACUAUAAGCCUUGCAACCAUUGUAACUAAUGAGUUAGUUGCGGGAUGAUGUAUUACGGAACGAGUAAAGAGACUUGCCGGUAACGAGAUUGAACUAGGUAUCGAGAUACCGACGAUCGAAUCUCGGGCAAGUAACAUACCAAUGACAAAGGGAACAACGUAUGCUGUUAUGCGGUCUGACCGAUAAAGAUCUUCGUAGAAUAUGUGGGAACCAAUAUGAGAAUCCAGGUUCCUCUAUUGGUUAUUGACCGGAGAGGUGUCUCGGUCAUGUCUACAUAGUUCUCGAACCCGUAGGGUCCGCACGCUUAAAGUUACGAUGACAGUUAUAUUAUGAGUUUAUAUGUUUUGAUGUACCGAAGGUUGUUCGGAGUCCCGGAUGUGAUCACGCACAUGACGAGGAGUCUCGAAAUGGUCGAGACAUAAAGAUUGAUAUAUUGGAAGCCUAUGUUUGGACAUCGGAAGUGUUCCGGGUGAAAUCGGGAUUUUUCCGGAGUACCGGGAGGUUACCGGAACCCCCCGGUAACUUAAUGGGCCUUAUUGGGCCUAGGUGGAAGAGAGGAGAGGAGGCUAGGGCAGGGCCGCGCCCCCCUUCCCCCCCAGUCCGAAUAGGACAAGGAGAGGGGGGCGGCGCCCCCCUUCCUUCCUCCCCUCCACCUCUUCCCCUCUCCCACUCCUAGUCCAACAUGGAAAGGGGGGAGUCCUACUCCCGGUAGGAGUAGGACUCCUCCUAGGCGCGCCACACCUCCUAGGCCGGCGGCCUCCCCCUUGCACCUUUAUAUACGGGGGCAGGGGGCACCUCUAGACACACAAUUGAUAUACGAUAUUUUAGCCGUGUGCGGUGCCCCCCUCCACCAUAUUACACCUCGAUAAUAUCGUUGCGGAGCUUAGGCGAAGCCCUGCGUCGGUAGAACAUCAUCAUCGUCACCACGCCGUCGUGCUGACGAAACUGUCCCUCAACACUCGGCUGGAUCGGAGUUCGAGGGACGUCAUCGAGCUGAACGUGUGCUGAACUCGGAGGUGCCGUGCGUUCGGUACUUGAUCGGUCGGAUCGUGAAGACGUACGACUACAUCAACCACGUUGUGCUAACGCUUCCGCUUUCGGUCUACGAGGGUACGUGGACAACACUCUCCCCUCUCGUUGCUAUGCAUCACCAUGAUCUUGCGUGUGCGUAGGAAUUUUUUUGAAAUUACUACGUUCCCCAACAGGUAUUUCCUCCCUCCCUUAUGCGCUAGGGGUGGUACGGGUCGCGACUGUCUGGUAGAUGCGUCAUGCUAGGUGUGGGGAUCCUAUGGUCCAAAUGGUAUAUAUGGAUAAGAAAUUUCCUUUACACUACACUCUUUCACUUUGGUCUAAAUUAAUUCCGUUGUUUGGGAAGAGCCCUAAACUAAUAGACCUCCUUUCAGCGACUACCUGCGCGAUUGUAUUGAAGCGCAUGCCUCAAAAAACCACGCACUUUGUAAAUAUGCACCGUUUGAAGGGAGAUAAGGUUUUGUGUAAGCUUCUUAGCUCAUCUUUGUUCAAUACUUCUCCUAUCGAGCCAUGUUUGGAUACUGACGCUUCAAAGAGUACGAUCUAUUGGUUCUUGCGUUUGUUAUACAUGUGAAGUUAAUACAGAUAUGAUGUUUCUAUGUUUCGUAUGCACUCGCACUCUUGCGACUAGUUUACUUUACAUGAUAUUGAUAACACUACUUUCAUGAAGUUAGUUUAGAUAAAAUUAAUUAAAAAAUACUAAUUAUUUCAACAAUUCAUUAGUUCUGAUACCAUACCGAAUUUCACGCAUAAAUUAACCAGUUAAUCAAAAAGCGAGCAAUGUCUAUUGGAGAAGAGGAGCACCAAUUUUGCAAGAACGAGUAACAACUAAAUUUAGGGCGUGGCUACAUGCGAGUCGCCUGAAAAAAAUCAGCACAAAUAGGAAAAGGGCUAUAGCUAAUCUGGACAUUAAUGGCGCACCAUGUAUGUGGUGCGCCACUGCUAUAUAGCAGUGGCGCACCAGAUACAGGUGCGUCAUUAUUGUCCUCAUUACUAAUGGCGCACCAGACACAGGGUGCGCCAUUACUAACAAUUUUUUUUAUUUUUCCAAAACUAUUAAUGGCGCACCAUGGCACAGUGCGCCAUUACUAGUUUUAACUAGUAAUGGCGCACCACACACUCUGUGCGCCACUACUAACAAUUUUUUUUUACUUUUUUUCAAAACUAGUAAUGGCGCACCUCGUACAGUGCGCCAUUACAAGUUACUUGUAAUGGCGCACCACAUCCACAGUGCGCCACUACUAACAUUUUUUUUGCAAAACUAGUAAUGGCGCACCACGUAACAGGUGCGUCAUUAGUAACCAGGGUUACUAAUGGCGCAUUUUUAGGUGGUGCGCUAUUAGUAACCUGAGACCAGCUAGAUAUUUUGCACAGCCACCUACCACACUCACUUUCCUCACUUCAUUCUCUCCACCUCCUCCUCCAAGAUUGUCUCGUCUGCCUCCUCCUCCUCACCUCAUUUGCACCAUAGAUUCACCCAAAUUAAGUGGUUAAAUUACCUUUUUUGAUAGGUAAGUAAGGGGAAAGCUUUCUUUAUAUUGUAGAUCUACUUUUUUCUCCCUCCAACAACAUGCACAUCCACUUUUUAUGGCCUAGCUAGAUCUACGUAUGUUUGUGGUGUUGCAUAUAUGUUUGUGUUUGCAGGUACCGGUAUUUGAAAUGCGAUAGUUGCCAAUAUUUUGCCGAAAUGUUGAUUCAUUUCCGUUUCGGCGAGAAUUUGGCACUAUGCAUUCUUUUUGGUCCUAUUUUUAGGCAAAGUCAUGCCAAAUUUUUUCUUGGUUCUAAAAUAUCGUUUUGCUCUACCCCGCAGGCGACCAUGGUCCGCACGAUGACCGAAGGCAUCAUGAAUAGGUUUUUGAGCUCCGCGAAGGCCGAGAUGCUUCAAAAGAACGAGACGGAGAUAAGAUGUCCGUGUCGAAGAUGCAAACUGAAGAGCCUUAUUACGGACCCGGAUUCCGGACAGGUGCGGGACCACCUACUCUUGCGUGGUUUCAUGGAUGGCUAUCGGUGGCAAGGUGAUGAAGAUGACUAUGAAGUCGUCCAUGGGGGCCGGGCAAGAAAUGAGGAAGGGCAGCAAGACAACCACCGCGGCGAGGGCGGGCGAGAAGACGAAGAAUCUCGAGGACAUGAUCACGACGGCGAUGCAGUACACAGUCAUCAUGUAGAAGAUGCCGGACAUGAUGAUGAGGAAGAUCAAGACGAAGGGCAUGAUCAUGAAGCUGAAGAUGCCAGAGCAGACGACGAUGGACCAUCGAUGGGCUGGGUGCAGGACCCUCAUAUUCAAGAGCUGCUUCUCAAGCAGACGGAUAACGCAAGAGCUGCCGCCCGAGAGAAAGCCAAGCUGGAUCAACUGGAGAUAGACGCGGUUACUCCAUUGUAUGAAGGAUGCAGGCCCGAGGAUACCCGCCUGAAAGUAACGCUCAUGGCUCUGGAGAUGAAGGUAAAACACAAAAUGACCGACGCAUGCUUCGACGAGAACAUGUUAUUCUGGCACGAACGUCUUCCCAAGGGGAACAAGUCCCCGACCAGUUUCGAGGAGGCGAAGAAAAUCGUGUGUCCUCUGGAUUUACCGCACGUGAAAUACCAUGUGUGCAUGAACAAUUGCAUCAUUUAUCGGGACGAGCACGCGGAGUCUACCAUAUGUCCGGUGUGCGGCAUCACUCGAUACAAGAAGAGGAAGAAAGCUCCUCGAAAAGUGGUGUGGUACUUUCCGAUCACUCCUCGUCUGCAGCGGUAUUUCGUGGACCCUAAGCUAGCAAAGCUCCUGCGUUGGCACGCGGAUAUGGAGGAGAAGAAGCGAGAAGAUGACGAAAAUGAUCCGGAGAUAAAUAAAAAAGACAAGAUGCUGAGUCACCCUAAGGAUGCGAGUAAGUGGCGGGUAGGCCGAUGCUACCAACUAAUCUGCUCAAUACUGCAACCGGUGCUAUGCGGAGUCUGCAUGACAGUGUUCUUUCUUUGGAGAAGCGGCGUCUCUCCGAGAAUGAUGUGGCAUACCCGGUUUUCGUGGCCAAGGUGCCAGAGGGCAAGGGCUUUGUGGAUAGCGCCAUCGGGAGUACGAUCGUCCUGCGGUUUGAUGACAUCUUCGCUAUGUUUAACCUUCAUCCGCUGCACUACACCUUCGUUCGGCUAUUUUCGCUGAGUAUGGAGAUGCAGAUCAUUAGAGACAAGACCCCGGACAUCGUGAUAGUCGACCCCUUCUACAUGCGUGCCAAGAUCUUGGGCAGCGCUGGGGACUGGCAAGUCGCGAGUUCAUACCUCGAAGGCGUCAUUCUAGCAAACCCAGAUAAGGAUAACUUCCUUGUGCCUUACUUUCCCGAGUAAGUCAUCCCCUCAUCGCCCCGUAACAUAUGAUUUCUUGGAUUUCGAUCGUUCUUUUUUUUUCUAACAUUCCGUGUUUUGUGCAGUGACACACAUUGCACACUCAUCCUCUUAAGCCCGAAAUAUUCCAUGGCCACAUAUUUCGACUCGGACCGUCAGUCGAAGAAAGACUACACAAAUAUCAAGAAAGUUCUUGAUGAUGUUCUCCCCGGCUACGCCAGAUCUGGAGGCACCUUUAGCAGGCCAGUUUGUACGUACGGCAAGCACGUGUUCACCCACAAUACGACGUUCCCCUGCGUCAAGCAGCCGCCUGGCUGUCAGAAGGAUGCCUACUACGCCCUCCAUCACAUGUGGACGAUCGUACGGGACCAUAAUCACCUUCUGCUACCAAAUAAUCUCAAAGAUUGGGCCGCACGCUUGUCGGCAAUCCAGGAGGCGGACAUCAGACAAGAAUUCUUUCGCAUCCAGUCGGAGUUUGCGAAAAUCAUCCAUCAAGAUGUCAUUCGUACCUCGGGGCAGUUCUACCUCAGAUAUCAACCGUCCAACAGUGAGAUAGAAACAACACUACAAAUGCAGGCUGACAACGCCCACGAUUUCAUGACCAUCUGUAACGCCCGGAUAAUUAGGCUACAGUAAAACUCUCCUGAUGAUGCCAUGUCAUCUCUGUUACUGUUGCUAAUCAAGUGUUAGUUCAAAACAUUUCAAAUUCAAAAAAUGAAUUAGUGACAAACACCCAAAGUUUUCAAAAGUCAAAAUAAAAAUGUUCGGUGGGUGCCAAAUAUUGCACUGGUAAUUAUUGUGGAGAAAACAUUUUUUUAGAAAGUGCCUAAGUAUUUUAAAGUGAAAUAAAACAGAAAAGAGAAAUAAAGAAAAGAAAAGAAAAAGAACCCCCACUGGACCAGGCGGCCCAACUCACAGGCCACACCGGCCCACCUGGUGUUGGGGAACGUAGUAAUUUCAAAAAAAUUCUACGCACACGCAAGAUCAUGGUGAUGCAUAGCAACGAGAGGGGAGAGUGUUGUCCAUGUACCCUCGUAGACCGAUAGCGGAAGCGUUUAACACAACGCGGUUGAUGUAGUCGUACGUCUUCACGAUCCGAUCGAUCAAGUACCGAACGCACGGCACCUCCGAGUUCAGCACACGUUCAGCUCGAUGACGUCCCUCGAACUCCGAUCUAGCCGAGUGUUGAGGGAGAGUUUCGUCAGCACGACGGCGUGGUGACAAUGUUGAUGUUCUACCGACGCAGGGCUUCGCCUAAGCACCGCUACGAUAUUAUCGAGGUGUAAUAUGGUGGAGGGGGGCACCGCACACGGCUAAGAGAUCAAUGAUCAAUUGUGUGUCUAGAGGUGCCCCCCUGCCCCCGUAUAUAAAGGUGCAAGGGGGGGUUCGGCCGGCCUAAGGGAGAGGCGCGCCAGGAGGAGUCCUACUCCUACCGGGAGUAGGACUCCCCCCCUUUUCCAUGUUGGACUAGGAGAGAAAGGGGGAAAAGGUGGAGGGGAGGAAGGAAGGGGGGCGCCGCCCCCCUCUCCUUGUCCUAUUCGGACUGGGGGGGAGGGGCGCGCGGCCCUGCCCUGGCCUCCUCUCCUCUCAUCCACCUAGGCCCACUAAGGCCCAUUAAGUUACCGGGGGGUUUCGGUAACCUCCCGGUACUCCGGAAAAAUCCCGAUUUCACCCGGAACACUUCCGAUGUCCAAACAUAGGCUUCCAAUAUAUCAAUCUUUAUGUCUCGACCAUUUCGAGACUCCUCGUCAUGUCCGUGAUCACAUCCGGGACUCCGAACAACCUUCGGUACAUCAAAACAUAUAAACUCAUAAUAUAACUGUCAUCGUAACGUUAAGCGUGCGGACACUACGGGUUCGAGAACUAUGUAGACAUGACCGAGACACCUCUCCGGUCAAUAACCAAUAGCGAAACCUGGAUGCUCAUAUUGGUUCCCACAUAUUCUACGAAGAUCUUUAUCGGUCAGACCGCAUAACAACAUACGUUGUUCCCUUUGUCAUCGGUAUGUUACUUGCCCGAGAUUCGAUCGUCGGUAUCUCGAUACCUAGUUCAAUCUCAUUACCGGCAAGUCUCUUUACUCGUUCCGUAAUACAUCAUCCUGCAACUAACUCAUUAGUCACAAUUCUUGAAAGGCUUAUAGUGAUGUGUAUUACUGAGUGGGACCAGAGAUACCUCUCCGACAAUCGGAGUGACAAAUCCUAAUCUCGAAAUACGCCAACCCAACAAGUACCUUUGGAGACACCUGUAGAGCACCUUUAUAAUCACCCAGUUACGUUGUGACGUUUGGUAGCACACAAAGUGUUCCUCCGGUAAACGGGAGUUGCAUAAUCUCAUAGUCAUAGGAACAUGUAUAAGUCAUGAAGAAAGCAAUAGCAACAUACUAAACGAUCGAGUGCUAAGCUAACGGAAAGGGUAAAGUCAAUCACAUCAUUCUCCUAAUGAUGUGAUCCCGUUAAUCAAAUGACAACUCAUGUCUAUGGCUAGGAAACAUAACCAUCUUUGAUCAACGAGCUAGUCAAGUAGAGGCAUACUAGUGACACUCUGUUUGUCUAUGUAUUCACACAUGUAUUAUGUUUCCGGUUAAUACAAUUCUAGCAUGAAUAAUAAACAUUUAUCAUGAUAUAAGGAAAUAAAUAAUAACUUUAUUAUUGCCUCUAGGGCAUAUUUCCUUCAGUCUCCCACUUGCACUAGUGUCAAUAAUGUAGAUUACACAGUAAUGAUUCUUACACCCAUGGAGUCUUGGUGCUGAUCAUGAUUUGCUCGUGGAAGAGGCUUAGUCAACGGGUCUGCAACAUUCAGAUCCGUAUGUAUCUUGCAAAUUUCUAUGUCUCCCACCUGGACUAAAUCCCGGAUGGAAUUGAAGCGUCUUUUGAUGUGCUUGGUUCUCUUGUGUAAUCUGGAUUCCUUUGCUAAGGCAAUUGCACCAGUAUUGUCACAAAAUAUUUUCAUUGGUCCCAAUGCACUAGGUAUGACACCUAGAUCGGAUAUGAACUCCUUCAUCCAGACUCCUUCAUUUGCUGCUUCCGAAGCAGCUAUGUACUCCGCUUCACACGUAGAUCCCGCCACGACACUUUGUUUAGAACUACACGAACUGACAGCUCCACCGUUCAAUUUAAACAUGUAUCCGGUUUGCGAUUUAGAAUCGUCUGGAUCAGUGUCAAAGCUUGCAUCAACGUAACCAUUUACGAUGAGCUCUUUGUCACCUCCAUAAACGAGAAACAUAUCCUUAGUCCUUUUCAGGUACUUCAAGAUGUUCUUGACCACUGUCCAGUGAUCCACUCCUGGAUUACUUUGGUACCUCCCUGCUAAACUUAUAGCAAGGCACACAUCAGGUCUGGUACACAGCAUUGCAUACAUGAUAGAGCCUGUGGCUGAAGCAUAGGGAACAUCUUUCAUCUUCUCUCUAUCUUCUGCAGUGGUCGGGCAUUGAGUCUUACUCAAUUUCACACCUUGUAGUAUAGGCAAGAACCCUUUCUUUGCUUGAUCCAUUUUGAACUUCUUCAAAACUUUGUCAAGGUAUGUGCUUUGUGAAAGUCCAAUUAAGCGUCUUGAUCUAUCUCUAUAGAUCUUGAUGCCUAAUAUAUAUGCAGCUUCACCGAGGUCUUUCAUUGAAAAACUCUUAUUCAAGUAUCCCUUUAUGCUAUCCAGAAAUUCUAUAUCAUUUCCAAUUAGCAAUAUGUCAUCCACAUAUAAUAUCAGAAAUGCUACUGAGCUCCCACUCACUUUCUUGUAAAUACAGGCUUCUCCAAAAGUCUGUAUAAAACCAAAUGCUUUGAUCACACUAUCAAAGCGUUUACUCCAACUCCGAGAGGCUUGCACUAGUCCAUAAAUGGAUCGCUGGAGCUUGCACACUUUGUUAGCUCCCUUUGGAUCGAUAAAACCUUCCGGUUGCAUCAUAUACAACUCUUCUUCCAGAAAUCCAUUCAGGAACGCAGUUUUGACAUCCAUUUGCCAAAUUUCAUAAUCAUAAAAUGCGGCAAUUGCUAACAUGAUUCGGACAGACUUGAGCAUCGCUACGGGUGAGAAAUUCUCGUCGUAGUCAGUCCCUUGAACUUGUCGAAAACCUUUCGCAACAAGUCGAGCUUUAUAGACAGUAACAUUACCGUCAGCGUCAGUCUUCUUCUUGAAGAUCCAUUUAUUUUCAAUGGCUUGCCGAUCAUCGGGCAAGUCAACCAAAGUCCAUACUUUGUUCUCAUACAUGGAUCCCAUCUCGGAUUUCAUGGCCUCAAGCCAUUUUGCGGAAUCUGGGCUCACCAUCGCUUCUUCAUAGUUCAUAGGUUCGUCAUGGUCUAGUAACAUAACCUCCAGAACAGGAUUACCGUACCACUCUGGUGCGGAUCUUAAUCUGGUUGACCUACGAGGUUCAGUAAUAACUUGAUCUGAAGUUUCAUGAUCAUUAUCAUUAACUUCCCCGCUAAUUGGCGUAGGUGUCGCAGAAACUGGUUUCUGUGAUGAUCUACUUUCCAAUAAGGGAGCAGGUACAGUUACCUCAUCAAGUUCUACUUUCCUCCCACUCACUUCUUUCGAGAGAAACUCCUUCUCUAGAAAGGAUCCAUUCUUAGCAACGAAUGUCUUGCCUUCGGAUCUGUGAUAGAAGGUGUACCCAACAGUCUCCUUUGGGUAUCCUAUGAAGACACAUUUCUCCGAUUUAGGUUCGAGCUUAUCAGGUUGAAGUUUCUUCACAUAAGCAUCGCAACCCCAAACUUUAACAAACGGCAACUUUGGUUUCUUGCCAAACCAUAGUUCAUAAGGCGUCGUCUCAACGGAUUUCGAUGGUGCCCUAUUUAGAGUGAAUGCAGCCGUCUCUAAAGCAUAACCACAAAACGAUAGCGGUAAAUCAGUAAGAGACAUCAUAGAUCGCACCAUAUCUAGUAAAGUACGAUUACGACGUUCGGACACACCAUUACGUUGUGGUGUUUCGGGUGGCGUGAGUUGCGAAACUAUUCCGCAUUGUUUCAAAUGUAGGCCAAACUCGUAACUCAAAUAUUAUCCUCCACGAUCUGAUCGUAGAAAAUUUAUUUUCUUGUUACGAUGAUUUUCAACUUCGCUCUGAAAUUCUUUGAACUUUUCAAAUGUUCCAUACUUAUGUUUCAUUAAGUAGAUAUACCCAUAUCUGCUCAAAUCAUCUGUGAAGGUGAGAAAAUAACGAUAUCCGCCACGAGCCUCAAUAUUCAUUGGACCACAUACAUCUGUAUGUAUGAUUUACAACAAAUCAGUUGCUCUCUCCAAAGUUCCGGAGAACGGUGUUUUAGUCAUCUUGCCCAUGAGACACGGUUCGCAAGUACCAAGUGAUUCCAAAAGUCCAUCAUUAUGGAGUUUCUUCAUGCGCUUUACACCGAUAUGACCUAAACGGCAGUGCCACAAAUAAGUUGCACUAUCAUUAUCAACUCUGCAUCUUUUGGCUUCGACAUUAUGAAUAUGUGUGUCACUACUACCGAGAUUCAUUAAAAAUAGACCACUCUUCAAGGGUGCAUGACCAUAAAAGAUAUUACUCAUAUAAAUAGAACAACCAUUAGUCUCUGAUUUAAAUGAAUAACCGUCUCGCAUCAAACAAGAUCCAGAUAUAAUGUUCAUGCUCAACGCUGGCACCAAAUAAUAAUUAUUUAGGUCUAAUACUAAUCCCGAAGGUAGAUGUAGAGUUAGCGUGCCGACGGCGAUCACAUCGACUUUGGAACCGUUUCCCACACGCAUCGUCACCUCGUCCUUGGCCAGUGUUCGCUUAAUCCGUAGUCCCUGUUUCGAGUUGCAAAUAUUAGCAACAGAACCAGUAUCAAAUACCCAGGUGCUACUGCGAGCUCUGGUAAGGUACACAUCAAUAACAUGUAUAUCACAUAUACCUUUGUUCACCUUGCCAUCCUUCUUAUCCGUCAAAUACAUGGGGCAGUUUCGCUUCCAGUGACCAGUCUGCUUGCAGUAGAAGCACUCAGUCUCAGGCUUAGGUCCAGAUUUGGGUUUCUUCUCCUGAACAGCAACUUGCUUGCUGUUCUUCUUGAAGUUCCCCGUCUUCUUCCCUUUGCCCUUUUUCUUGAAACUAGUGGUCUUAUUGACCAUCAACACUUGAUGCUCCUUUUUGAUUUCUACCUCCGCUGCCUUUAGCAUUGCGAAGAGCUCGGGAAUUGUCUUGUUCAUCCCUUGCAUGUUAUAGUUCAUCACGAAGCUCUUGUAGCUUGGUGGCAGUGAUUGAAGAAUUCUGUCAAUGACGCUAUCAUCCGGAAGAUUAACUCCCAGUUGAAUCAAGUGAUUAUUAUACCCAGACAUUUUGAGUAUAUGCUCACUGACAGAACUAUUCUCUUCCAUCUUGCAGCUGUAGAACUUAUUGGAGACUUCAUAUCUCUCAAUCCGGGCAUUUGCUUGAAAUAUUAACUUCAACUCCUGGAACAUCUCAUAUGCUCCAUGACGUUCAAAACGUCGUUGAAGACCCGGUUCUAAGCCGUAAAGCAUGGCACACUGAACUAUCGAGUAGUCAUCAGCUUUGCUCUGCCAGACGUUCAUAACUUCUGGUGUUGCUCUUGCAGCAGGCCUGACACCCAGCGGUGUUUCCAGGACGUAAUUCUUCUGUGCAGCAAUGAGGAUAAUCCUCAAGUUACGGACCCAGUCCGUGUAAUUGCUACCAUCAUCUUUCAACUUUGCUUUCUCAAGGAACGCAUUAAAAUUCAUCGGAACAACAGCACGGGCCAUCUAUCUACAAUUAACAUAGACAAGCAAGAUACUAUCAGGUACUAAGUUCAUGAUAAAUUUAAGUUCUAUUAAUCAUAUUACUUAAGAACUCCCACUUAGAUAGACAUCCCUCUAAUCAUCUAAGUGAUUACGUGAUCCAAACCAACUAAACCAUAACCGAUCAUCACGUGAAAUGGAGUAGUUUUCAAUGGUGAACAUCACUAUGUUGAUCAUAUCUACUAUAUGAUUCACGCUCGACCUUUCGGUCUCUGUGUUCCGAGGCCAUAUCUGCAUAUGCUAGGCUCGUCAAGUUUAACCUGACUAUUCCACGUGUGCAACUGUUUUGCACCCGUUGUAUUUGAACGUAGAGCCUAUCACACCCGAUCAUCACGUGGUGUCUCAGCGCGAAGAACUUUCGCAACGGUGCAUACUCAGGGAGAACACUUUUAUCUUGAAUGUUUAGUGAGAGAUCAUCUUAUAAUGCUACCGUCAAUCAAAGCAAGAUAAGAUGCAUAAAAGAUAAACAUCACAUGCAAUCAAUAUAAGUGAUAUGAUAUGGCCAUCAUCAUCUUGUGCUUGUGAUCUCCAUCUCCGAAGCACUGUCAUGAUCACCAUCGUCACCGGCGCGACACCUUGAUCUCCAUCGUAGCAUCGUUGUCGUCACGCCAACUAUUGCUUUUACGACUAUCGCUACCGCUUAGUGAUAAAGUAAAACAAUUACAUGGCGAUUGCAUUGCAUACAAUAAAGCGACAACCAUAUGGCUCCUGCCAGUUGCCGAUAACUAGGUUACAAAACAUGAUCAUCUCAUACAAUAAAAUAUAGCAUCACGUCUUGACCAUAACACAUCACAACAUGCCCUGCAAAAACAAGUUAGACGUCCUCUACUUUGUUGUUGCAAGUUUUACGUGGCUGCUACGGGCUUAGCAAGAACCGUUCUUACCUACGCAUCAAAACCACAACGAUAGUUUGUCAAGUUGGUGCUGUUUUAACCUUCGCAAGGACCGGGCGUAGCCACACUCGGUUCAACUAAAGUGAGAGAGACAGACACCCGCCAGUCACCUUUAAGCAACGAGUGCUCGCAACGGUGAAACCAGUCUCGCGUAAGCGUACGCGUAAUGUCGGUCCGGGCCGCUUCAUCUCACAAUACCGCCGAACCAAAGUAUGACAUGCUGGUAAGCAGUAUGACUUAUAUCGCCCACAACUCACUUGUGUUCUACUCGUGCAUAUAACAUCAACGCAUAAAACCAGGCUCGGAUGCCACUGUUGGGGAACGUAGUAAUUUCAAAAAAUUUCUACGCACACGCAAGAUCAUGGUGAUGCAUAGCAACGAGAGGGGAGAGUGUUGUCCACGUACCCUCGUAGACCAAUAGCGGAAGCGUUUAACACAACGCGGUUGAUGUAGUCGUACGUCUUCACGAUCCGACCGAUCAAGUACCGAACACACGGCACCUCCGAGAUUAGCACACGUUUAGCUCGAUGACGUCCCUCGAACUCCGAUCCAGCCGAGUGUUGAGGGAGAGUUUCGUCAGCAUGACGGCGUGGUGACAAUGUUGAUGUUCUACCGACGCAGGGCUUCGCCUAAGCACCGCUACGAUAUUAUCGAGGUGUAAUAUGGUGGAGGGGGGCACCGCACACGGCUAAGAGAUCAAUGAUCAAUUGUGUGUCUAGAGGUGCCCCCUGCCCCCGUAUAUAAAGGUGCAAGGGGGGUUCGGCCGGCCUAAGGGAGAGGCGCGCCAGGAGGAGUCCUACUCCUACCGGGAGUAGGACUCCCCCCCUUUUCCAUGUUGGACUAGGAGAGAAAGGGGGAAAAGGUGGAGGGGAGGAAGGAAGGGGGGCGCCGCCCACCUCUCCUUGUCCUAUUCGGACUGGGGGGAAGGGGCGCGCGGCCCUCCCCUGGCCUCCUCUCCUCUCUUCCACCUAGGCCCACUAAGGCCCAUUAAGUUACCGGGGGGUUCCGGUAACCUCCCGGUACUCCGAAAAAUCCCGAUUUCACCCGGUAACUUCCGAUGUCCAAACAUAGGCUUCCAAUAUAUCAAUCUUUAUGUCUCGAUCAUUUCGAGACUCCUCGUCAUGUCCGUGAUCACAUCCGGGACUCCGAACAACCUUCGGUACAUCAAAACAUAUAAACUCAUAAUAUAACUAUCAUCGUAACGUUAAGCGUGCGGACCCUACGGGUUCGAGAACUAUGUAGACAUGACCGGGACACCUCUCCGGUCAAUAACCAAUAGCGGAACCUGGAUGCUCAUAUUGGUUCCCACAUAUUCUACGAAGAUCUUUACCGGUCAGACCGCAUAACAACAUACGUUGUUCCCUUUGUCAUUGGUAUGUUACUUGCCCGAGAUUCGAUCGUCGGUAUCUCGAUACCUAGUUCAAUCUCGUUACCGGCAAGUCUCUUUACUCAUUCCGUAAUACAUCAUCCCGCAACUAACUCAUUAGUCACAAUGCUUGCAAGGCUUAUAGUGAUGUGUAAUACUGAGUGGGCCCAGAGAUACCUCUCGGACAAUCGAAGUGACAAAUCCUAAUCUCGAAAUACGCCAACCCAACAAGUACCUUUGGAGACACCUGUAGAGCACCUUUAUAAUCACCCAGUUACGUUGUGACGUUUGGUAGCACACAAAGUGUUCCUCCGGUAAACGGGAGUUGCAUAAUCGCAUAGUCAUAGGAACAUGUAUAAGUCAUGAAGAAAGCAAUAGCAACAUACUAAACGAUCGAGUGCUAAGCUAACGGAAUGGGUCAAGUCAAUCACAUCAUUCUCCUAAUGAUGUGAUCCCGUUAAUCAAAUGACAACUCAUGUCUAUGGCUAGGAAACAUAACCAUCUUUGAUCAACGAGCUAGUCAAGUAGGGGCAUACUAGUGACACUCUGUUUGUCUAUGUAUUCACACAUGUAUUAUGUUUCCGGUUAAUACAAUUCUAGCAUGAAUAAUAAAAAUUUAUCAUGAUAUAAGGAAAUAAAUAAUAACUUUAUUAUUGCCUCUAGGGCAUAUUUCCUUCACCUGGCCCAGCUUGCCAACCGCCGGCCCAGCCCACCUACCUCGUCUCCCUUCCCUGUUCCCCCGACCCGGGUCGGAACAGGGGCGCAUCGCCACCGGACCCCUCCUCGAUCCCGCCUCCCACUCACCCCCACUCUUGCCCUCGGUUCCUGCGCCUUUCCCUCUCCCCUCAGAUCCACCUCGCCACUCCCCCUCGUUCCCCCACCGCAACCGAGCGCCGCCAUGGCCUCGCGGCCUUAGAACUCGCGGCCACCGCGACCUCCGCGCCUCUCCGACGUGUCCGCUCGCUGCGCCUCCCUCGACUACGCCUCCCCGUCAAGCCGCAGGACGCCGGGCACCCUCGAACGCUGCCCCGGCCUCGUCUUCUUCCUCGGAUCCCCGACGCGUCUCCGACGAGCGCCGUCGACUCUGCAGCUCCUAAACCCCCCAAGGACCUUUCGUGUGUGCCGCUCGGUGAGCUCCACCCCUCCUGCUCUCCGUUUGCUCUCUCGCACGCCCUAGCUAGCUGUCGCCGAAGCGCCCGAACGCAGUGCCGCGGAGCUCGUCGCCGACGAGUCUCCGGUGACCAAAUGGUCACGUGCGUGUUGCCAUUGAACUCGCCGCGUCGAGUAGGGCCCGACUAGCCCUCCCGUUUGCCCAAUAGCGCGCCACAUCGCCGUUGCCGUUGCUCGCCCGAAACACCCGGCCGCCGGCGAUGUCGUACUGCUCGUCUCUAGCCACCCCCGUGCCUGCGACCACCUCCACUCGACGCGCGCUGUCGUGUGCGUUCGAACACACACAACCGCGCGUAAAACCGUGCCCCAUACCACCAUUUGCCCUCACGCCCGACUCCGGCCGUCCGCCGAUGUGCUCGCCGCCGUCGCUUCCGGCCACCUCCGGCCACGCCACCGCUAGACGCGGGGCACUCUCCUCGUUCGAACGCAAGAGACGGCGCUCGUUUUGGUGCCCCGUAGGCGAAACCCGACGCUCGCCGGCGUUCGGCCGCUGCGCGCGAGCUCGCCGGAGCUACUCCGGCGGCUCCGCUGAGCUGGCACACCUGGGUCACCCCUGGGUCACUGCCUGGUGGCCCCGUGGGCCCGGCUGGCCCAGUUGACCAGGGCCAACGUGCUGACUGGGCUGGUCCCAGAAGCUGACCAGUGGCCCCCACACUAUAAACUAUUUAAUUAGUUAAUCUAAUUAAUCUGGGCUAAUUAGUCACUGACUAAUGGGGCCCGCACUUAGUUAAUCAUAGUUAGUUUAAAACAAAUCCAUUUCAGCUCUAGCUCAAUGACAGGUGGGUCCCAUAGGACCCACAAGUCUGUUUUAACUCCAUUCAACCGCACUGUUGACUGCUAACAUCACACAUACGUCAUGCUGACGUCAUCCAUACUGUUCUGGAUAAUUUUGGAUUUAAAUAAAUAAUUAAAAUCAGAAAAUGAUUAAAACUUUAGAAAAUCAUAUAAAAUAAUCCGUAACUCGGAUGAAAAUACUUUCUACAUGAAAGUUGCUCAGAACGACGAGACGAAUCCGGAUACGCAGCCCGUUCGUCCGCCACACAUCCCUAACAUAUCAAGCUUGCAACCAUCCCCCUCCGGUUCAUCUGUCCGAAAAGGCGAAACACCGGGAAUACUUUCUCGGAUGUUUCCCCCCUUUGCCGGAAUCACCUAGUACCGCGUUUGGGCACACCUAGCCUCACGCUUUGUCAUGUCAUGCAUCGUUAUGCAUAUGUUUGCAUUGUAUUCAUUGUUUCUCCCCCUCUUCUCUCCGGUAGACUACGAGACCGACGCCGCUACUGGUGCCCCGACCGACUACGCUGUUGACGACCCCUCCUUCUUGCCAGAGCAAUCAGGCAAGCCCCCCCCUUGAUCACCAGAUAUCGCCUAUUCUUCUAUACUGCUUGCAUUAGAGUAGUGUAGCAUGUUACUGCUUUCGGUUAAUCCUAUUCUGUUGCAUAGCCUGUCAUUGUUGCUACAGUUGUUACCCUUACCUGCUAUCCUACUGCUUAGUAUAGGAUGCUAGUGUUCCAUCAGUGGCCCUACACUCUUGUCCGUCUGCCAUGCUAUACUACUGGGCCGUGAUCACUUCGGGAGGUGAUCGCGGGUAUAUACUAUAUACUUUAUAUACAUGACACAUGUGGUGACUAAAGUCGGGUCGGCUCGUGGAGUACCCGCAAGUGAUUCUGAUGAGGGGGCUGAAAGGACAGGUGGCUCCAUCCCAGUAGAGGUGGGCCUAGGUUCCUGACGGCCCCCGACUAUUACUUUGUGGGCGGUGUGGGUAUUUCCUCCCUCCCUUGUGCGGUAGGGGUGGCACGGGUCACGACUGUCCGGUAGAUGCGUGAUGCUAGGUGUGGGGAUCCUAUGGUCCAAAUGGUAUAUAUGGAUAAGAAAUUUCCUUUACAGUACACUCUUUCACUUUGGUCUAAAUUAAUUCCUUUGUUUGGGAAGAGCCCUAAACUGAUAGACCUCCUUUCAGCGACUACCUGCGCGAUUGUAUUGAAGCGCAUGCCUCAAAAAAGUACCGUCUGAAGGGAGAUAAGGUUUUGUGUAAGCUUCUUAGCUCAUCUUUGUUCAAUACUUCUCCUAUCGAGCCAUGUUUGGAUACUGACGGUUCAAAGAGUACGAUCGAUUGGUUCUUGCGUUUGUUAUACAUGUGAAGUUAAUACAGAUAUGAUGUUUCUAUGUUUCGUAUGCACUCGCACUCUUGCGACUAGUUUACUUUACAUGAUAUUGAUAACACUACUUUCUUGAAGUUAGUUUAGAUAAAAUUAAUUAAAAAAUACUAAUUAUUUCAACAAUUCAUUAGUUCUGAUACCAUACCGAAUUUCACGCAUAAAUUGACCAGUUAAUCCAAAAGCGAGCAAUGUCUAUUAGAGAAGAGGAGCACCAAUUUUGCAAGAACGAGUAACAACUAAAUUAGGGCGUGGCUACAUGCCAUUCGCCUGAAAAAAAUCAGCACUACUAGGAAAAGGGCUAUAGCUAAUAUGGACAUUAAUGGCGCACCAUGUAUGUGGUGCGCCACUGCUAUAUAGCAGUGGCGCACCAGAUACAGGUGCGCCAUUAGUGUCCUCAUUACUAAUGCCGCACCAGACACAGGGUGCGCCAUUACUAACAAUUUUUUUAUUUUUCCAAAACUAUUAAUGGCGCACCAUGGCACAGUGCGCCAUUACUAGUUUUAACUAGUAAUGGCGCACCACACACUCUGUGCGCCACUACUAACAAAUUUUUGUACUUUUUUUUUCAAAACUAGUAAUGGCGCACUUGGGUACAGUGCGCCAUUACAAGUUCAAACUAGUAAUAGCGCACCACAUCCACGGUGCGCCACUACUAACAUUUUUUUUUGCAAAACUAGUAAUGGCGCACCACGUAACAGGUGCGUCAUUAGUAACCAGGGUUACUAAUGGUGCAUUUUUAGGUGGUGCGCCAUUAGUAACCUGAGACCAGCUAGAUAUUUUGGACAGCCACCUACCACACUCACUUUCCUCACUUCAUUCUCUCCACCUCCUCCUCCAAGCUUGUCUCGUCUGCCUCCUCCUCCUCACCUCAUUUGCACCAUAGAUUCACCCAAAUUAAGUGGUUAAAUUACCUUUUUUGAUAGGUAAGUAAGGGGAAAGCUUUCUUUAUAUUGUAGAUCUACUUUUUUCUCCCUCCAACAACGUGCACAUGCAAUUUUUAUGGCCUAGCUAGAUCUACGUAUGUUUGUGGUGUUGCCUAUAUGUUUGUGUUUGCAGGUACCGGUAUUUGAAAUGCGAUAGUUGCCAAUAUUUUGCCGGAAUGUUGAUUCAUUUCCGUUUCGGCGAGAAUUUGGCACUAUGCAUUCUUUUUGGUCCUAUUUUUAGGCAAAGUCAUGCCAAAUUUUUUCUUGGUUCUAAAAUAUCGUUUUGCUCUACCCCGCAGGCGACCAUGGUCCGCACGAUGACCGAAGGCAUCAUGAAUAGGUUUUUGAGCUCCGCGAAGGCCGAGAUGCUUCAAAAGAACGAGACGGAGAUCAGACGUCCGUGUCGAAGAUGCAAGCUGAAGAGCCUUAUUACGGACCCGGAUUCCGGACACGUGCGGGACCACCUGCUCUUGCGUGGUUUCAUGGACGGCUAUCGGUGGCAAGGUGAUGAAGAUGACUAUGAAGUCGUCCAUGGGGGCCGGGCAAGAAAUGAGGAAGGUUAGCAAGACAACUACCGCGGCGAGGGCGGGCGAGAAGACGAAGAAUCUCGAGGACAUGAUCACGACGGCGAUGCAAUACACAGUCAUCAUGUAGAAGAUGCCGGACAUGAUGAUGAGGAAGAUCAAGACGAAGGGCAUGAUCAUGAAGCUGAAGAUGCCGGAGCAGACGACGAUGGACCAUCGAUGGGCUGGGUGCAGGACCCUCAUAUUCAAGAGCUGCUUCUCAAGCAGACGGAUAACGCAAGAGCUGCCGCCCGAGAGAAAGCCAAGCUGGAUCAACUGGAGAUAGACGCGGUUACUCCAUUGUAUGAAGGAUGCAGGCCCGAGGAUACCCGCCUGAAAGUAACGCUCAUGGCUCUGGAGAUGAAGGUAAAACACAAAAUGACCGACGCAUGCUUCGACGAGAACAUGUUAUUCUGGCACGAACGUCUUCCCAAGGGGAACAAGUGCCCGACCAGUUUCGAGGAGGCGAAGAAAAUCGUGUGUCCUCUGGAUUUACCGCACGUGAAAUACCAUGUGUGCAUGAACAAUUGCAUCAUUUAUCGGGACGAGCACGCGGAGUCUACCAUAUGUCCGGUGUGCGACGUCACUCGAUACAAGAAGAGGAAGAAAGCUCCUCGAAAAGUGGUGUGGUACUUUCCGAUCACUCCUCGUCUGCAGCGGUAUUUCGCGGACCCUAAGCUAGCAAAGCUCCUGCGUUGGCACGCGGAUAGGGAGGAGAAGAAGCGAGAAGAUGAUGAAAAUGAUCCGGAGAUAAAUAAAAAAGACAAGAUGCCGAGUCACCCUAAGGAUGCGAGCGAGUGGCGGGUAGGCCGAUGCUACCAACUAAUCUGCUCAAUACUGCAACCGGUGCUAUGCGGAGUCUGCAUGAUAGUGUUCUUUCUUUGGAGAAGCGGCGUCUCUCCGAGAAUGAUGUGGCAUACCCGGUUUUCGUGGCCAAGGUGCCAGAGGGUAAGGGCUUUGUGGAUAGCGCCAUCGGGGGUACGAUCGUCCUGUGGUUUGAUGACAUCUUCGCUAUGUUUAACCUUCAUCCGCUGCACUACACCUUCGUUUGGCUAUUUUCGCUGAGUAUGGAGAUGCAGAUCAUUAGAGACAAGACCCCGGACAUCGUGAUAGUCGACCCCUUCUACAUGCGUGCAAAGAUCUUGGGCAGCGCUGGGGACCGGCAAGUCGCGAGUUCAUACCUCGAAGGCGUCAUUCUAGACAACCCAGAUAAGGAUAACUUCCUUGUGCCUUACUUUCCCGAGUAAGUCAUCCCCUCACCGCCCCAUAACAUAUGAUUUCUUAGAUUUCGAUUGUUCUUUUUUUCCUAACAUUCCGUGUUUUGUGCAGUGACACACAUUGCACACUCAUCCUCUUAAGCCCGAAAUAUUCCAUGGCCACGUAUUUCGACUCGGACCGUCAGUCGAAGAAAGACUACACAAAUAUCAAGAAAGUUCUUGAUGAUGUUCUCCCCGGCUACGCCAGAUCUGGAGGCACCUUCAGCAGGCCAGUUCGUAGGUACGGCAAGCACGUGUUCACCCACAAUACGACGUUCCCCUAUGUCAAGCAGCCGCCUGGCGGUCAGAAGGAUGCCUACUACGCCCUCCAUCACAUGCGGGCGAUCGUACGGGACCAUAAUCACCUUCUGCUACCAAAUAAUCUCAAAGAUUGGGCCGCACGUUUGUCGGCAAUCCAGGAGGCAGACAUCAGACAAGAAUUCUUUCGCAUCCAGUCGGAGUUUGCGAAAAUCAUCCAUCAAGAUGUCAUUCGUACCUCGGGGCAGUUCUACCUCAGAUAUCAACCGUCCAACAGUGAGAUAGAAACAACACUACAAAUGCAGGCUGACAACGCCCGCGAUUUCAUGACCAUCUGUAACGCCCGGAUAAUUAGGCUACAAUAAAACUCUCCUGAUGAUGCCAUGUCAUCUCUGUUACUGUUGCUAAUCAAGUGUUAGUUCAAAACAUUUCAAAUUCAAAAAAAUGAAUUAGUGACAAACACCCAGAGCUUUCAAAAGUCAAAAUAAAAAUGUUCGGUGGGUGCCAAAUAUUGCACUGGUAAUUAUUGUGGAGAAAACAUUUUUUUAGAAAGUGCCUAAGUAUUUUAUAGUGAAAUAAAACAGAAAAGAAAAAUAAAGAAAAGAAAAGAAAAAGAACCCCCCCAUUAGACCAGGCGGCCCAGCUCACAGGCCACACCGGCCCACCUGGCCCAGCUUGCCAACCGCCGGCCCAGCCCCCCUACCUCGUCUCCCUUCCCUGUUCCCCCGACCCGGGUCGGAACAGGGGCGCGUCACCACCGGACCCCCCUCGCCGGCGUCGAGGAGAGGAUAAGGCCGCCACGCCCCCACCUCCUUGAUCCCGCCUCCCACUCGCCCCCUACUCUUGCCCUCGGUUCCUGCGCCUCUCCCUCUCCCCUCAGAUCCACCUCGCCACUCCCCCUCGUUCCCCCACCGCAACCGAGCACCGCCAUGGCCUCGCGGCCGUAGAACUCGCGGCCACCGCAACCUCCGCUCCUCUCCGACGUGUCCGCUCGCUCCGCCUCCCUCGACUACGCCUCACCGUCAAGCCGCAGGAUGCCGGGCACCCUCGAACGCUGCCCCGGCCUCGUCUUCUUCCUCGGAUCCCCGGCGCGUCUCCGACGAGCGCAGUCGACUCUGCAGCUCCUAAACCCCCCAAGGACCUUUCGUGUGUGCCGCUCGGUGAGCUCCACCCCUCCUGCUCUCCGUUUGCUCUCUCGCACGCCCUAGCUAGCUGUCGCCGAAGCGCCCGAACGCAGCGCCGCGGAGCUCAUCGCCGACGAGUCUCCGGUGACCAAAUGGUCACGGGCGUGUUGCCAUUGAACUCGCUGCGUCGAGUAGGGCCCGACUAGCCCUCCCGUUUGCCCAAUAGCGCGCCACAUCGCCGUUGCCGUUGCUCGCCCGAAACACCCCGCCGCCGGCGACGUCGUACUGCUCGUCUCCAGCCACCCCCGUGUCUGCGACCACCGCCACUCGACGCGCGCUGUCGUGUGCGUUCGAACACACCCAACCGCGCAUAAAACCGUGCCCCAUACCACCAUUUGCCCUCACGCCCGACUCCGGCCGUCCGCCGAUGUGCUCGCCGCCGUCGCUUCCGGCCACCUCCGGCCACGCCACCGCCACCACUAGACGCGGGGCACUCUCCUCGUUCGAACGCAAGAGUAGGCGCUCGUUUUGGUGCCCCGUAGGCGAAACCCGACGUUCACCGGCGUUCGGCCGCUGCGCGCGAGCUCGCUGGAGCUACUCCGGCGGCUCCGCUGAGGUGGCACACCUGGGGCCACCCCUGGGUCACUGCCUGGUGGCCCCGUGGGCCCGGCUGGCCCAAUUGACGAGGGUCAACGUGCUGACUGGGCUGGUCCCAGCAGCUGACCAGUGGCCCCCACACUAUAAACUAAUUAAUUAGUUAAUCUAAUUAAUCUGGGCUAAUUAGUCACUGACUAAUGGGGCCCGCACUUAGUUAAUCAUAGUUAGUUUAAAACAAAUCCAUUUCAGCUCUGGCUCAAUGACAGGUCGGUCCCACUGGACCCACAAGUCAGUUUUGACUCCAGUCAACCGCACUGUUGUCUGGUGACAUCACACAUACGUCAUGCUGACGUCAUCCCAUACUGUUCUGGAUAAUGUUGGAUUUAAAUAAAUAAUUAAAAUCAGAAAAUGAUUAAAACUUUAGAAAAUCAUAUAAAAUAAUCUGUAACUCGGAUGAAAAUACUUUCUACAUGAAAGUUGCUCAGAACGAUGAGAUGAAUCCGGAUAAGCAGCCCGUUCGUCCACCACACAUCCCUAACAUAUCGAACUCGCAACUUCCCCCUCCGGUUCAUUUGUCCGAAAACGCGAAACACCGGGAAUACUUUCCCGGAUGUUUCCCCCCUUUGCCGGAAUCACCUAGUACCGCGUUUGGGCACACCUAGCCUCACGCUUUGUCAUGUCAUGCAUCGUUAUGCAUCUGUUUGCAUUGUAUUCAUUGUUUCUUCCCCCUCUUCUCUCCGGUAGACUACGAGACCGACGCCGCUGCUGGUGCCCCGACCGACUACGCUGUUGACGACCCCUCCUUCUUGCCAGAGCAAUCAGGCAAGCCCCCCCUUGAUCACCAGAUAUCGCCUAUUCUUCUCUAUACUGCUUGCAUUAGAGUAGUGUAGCAUGUUACUGCUUUCCGUUAAUCCUAUCCUGAUGCAUAGCCUGUCCUUGCUACUACUGUUGUUACCUUUACCUGCAAUCCUACAUGCUUAGUAUAGGAUGCUAGUAUUCCAUCUGUGGCCCUACAUUCUUGUCCGUCUGCCUUGCUAUACUAUCGGGCCGUGAUCACUCGGGAGGUGAUCAAGGGUAUAUACUUAUAUACUCUAUACAUGAUACCUGUGGUGACUAAAGUCGGGUCGGCUCGUAGGAGUACCCGCGAGUGGAUCUUGUGGCGGAGCGACAGGGCAGGUUGAGGCCACCUAGGAGAGAGGUGGGCCUGGCCCUGGACGGCGUCCGCGGUUACUUCAAAAUAACACGCUUAACGAGUUCUUGGUAUUUCAUCUGAGUCUGGCCAUUUGGUCUGUACGCACUAACCAACUAUGCGGGAACAGUUAUGGGCACUCGACAUCGUGGUAUCAGCCGAAGCCUUCAUGACGUCAGCGACUGAGCGGCGCGCGCCGCAUUGGACCGUAAGCUCGCGCUUGUAUUAAGGGGGCUAGGUCUGCUUCCGGCCGCGUACGCAACGUGCAGGUGUGCAAUGGGCGAUGGGCCCAGACCCCUGCGCGCAUAGGAUUUAGACCGGCGUGCUGACCUCUCUGUUGUGCCUAGGUAGGGCUGCGACAUGUUGAUCUUCCGCGGCCAGGCAUGACCCGGAAAAGUGUGUCCGGCCAAAUGGGAUCGAGCGUGUUGGGUUAUGUGGUGCACCCCUGCAGGGAAGUUUAUCUACUCGAAUAGCCGUGUCCCUCGGUAAAAGGACGACCCGGAGUUGUACCUUGACCUUAUGACAACUAGAACCGGAUACUUAAUAAAACACGCCCUUCCAAGUGCCAGAUAUAACCCGGUGAUCGCUCUCUAACAGGGCGACGAGGAGGGGAUCGCUGGGUAGGAUUAUGCUAUGCGAUGCUACUUGGAGGACUUCAAUCUACUCUCUUCUACAUGCUGCAAGAUGGAGGCUGCCAGAAGCGUAGUCUUCGACAGGAUUAGCUAUCCCCUCUUAUUCUGGCAUUCUGCUGUUCAGUCCACCGAUAUGGCCCUUUACACAUAUACCCAUGCAUAUGUAGUGUAGCUCCUUGCUUGCGAGUACUUUGGAUGAGUACUCACGGUUGCUUUUCUCCCUCUUUUCCCCCUUUCCUUUCUACCUGGUUGUCGCAACCAGAUGCUGGAGCCCAGGAGCCAGACGCCACUGUCGACGACGACUCCUACUACUCCGGAGGUGCCUACUACUACGUGCAGCCCGCUGACGACGACCAGGAGUAGUUAGGAGGAUCCCAGGCAGGAGGCAUGCGCCUCUUUCGAUUUGUAUCCCCGUUUGUGCUAGCCUUCUUAAGGCAAACUUGUUUAACUUAUGUCUGUACUCAGAUAUUGUUGCUUCCGCUGACUCGUCUAUGAUCGAGCACUUGUAUUCGAGCCCUCGAGGCCCCUGGCUUGUAUUAUGAUGCUUGUAUGACUUAUUUAUGUUUUAGAGUUGUGUUGUGAUAUCUUCCCAUGAGUCCCUGAUCUUGAUCGUACACGUUUGCGUGCAUGAUUAGUGUACAAUUGAAUCGGGGGCGUCACACCAUCACAACAGACGACGGCUUCAUCCACGCUCCGGUCCCUGAGUCGAGUCGAAAGUAGUGAUGCUAUGUAGUUCUGAAAUAUCGAUUAGCUCAUGUUGUAAUUAAACUUUAAUGAACUUGUAUGUCUCUUUGGUUUGGACAGUCGCUCAACUUAUAUGUAAACGAUGGUAUUUAUUAGUAGGACCAUGAAUCGUGCUAUUAAUGUCUUGCUUUUCUCUUCCGAUCCUUUUGUUGGAUACUUAUAUAUUGCUUAUGUAUUGUCUGUGAAUUGCUACUAACGUUUUGUUUGGCUAGUGCAUAGAGAUGCCGUCGUAUGUCGUGUACAAGGGUAAGGUUCCCGGAGUCUACGAUGACUGGGAGGAGUGUCGGAGACAGGUUUACCGUUUCAGCGGUAACAGUUACAAAGGGUACACCACUAGGGCGGAGGCGGAAGCUAGAUACGCACGCUAUCUAGUGGGAGAGAGGAGGGAGCGGAGGAGGAACCGGAUGAAGACCAGUUUCAUCGCGAUGAUGCUAAUCGUGAUGACCGUAGCUCUCUUCUAUGUGAUGGUAGUUUAGAUGAUCGAUAUCGACUUGUAAUGAGAAGACAAACUCGCUACUCGCGGUCUCGAGACUUGUAAUGUUCUAACUUUGUUUGGUCUUUUGAAUUCGAAGACUAAUAUGAUGAAUUGUAUUCGGAGACUAAUCUUCUAUUGUAUUCGAUAAAUCUGUUGUUUAUAUGCUGUGCUAUCUAUAUUCUAUGCAGUAAUAUAUAUCUUGUAACAUGUGCAAAUAUUAGAAAAGAAAAAAAUAAUAAUUCCUAAUAUUCAUACUAGUGGCGCACCACACAACACUUUAGUGGCGCACUGCAAUAAACACACUAGUGGCGCACUAUCUAGUAAUGCGCCAUUAGUAACCCCGAGCACAAGGUAAAUAUGGCCCCUUAGGAGGCAUAGUAAUGGCGCACCGUCUGACAUACUAAUGGCGCACUCCCUGAUGCGUCACUACUGUCUGGUGCGCCAUUAGUAUUAGUUACUAGUGCCGUGAUGAUAGUGGCGCACCUGUAGCGCGUCAUUAAUGGCCAAAACAGGUGCGCCACUAAUUAGCCUUUUCUUAGUAGCGCAGGGUCAAUCGAUUUCUUCAACCGCCUGAAAAAAAUAUCUUCCACAGCUGUUCACAGCAAAUGGUCGUAAGAGUGGGGGUGGGGGGAGCAGAUUUACAACAUACACUCAUGCUGGUCCCCGUCUUGCAUGCCACAGCCAGACGACGAUGACACUCACGGACCGGGUCGACGAUGACACUCUCGUCGUGCAUGCCACAUCCGCCUAGACAGCCAGCUCGGCCGCGUGGAUCUUUACACGAACCUGCCCCGGUACCACGCAUGGCCGGCGCAGGACAAUGCAUGUAAGUUUGAUGUGGUAACUGGAGACCGCCAUACCGAGCGAGUACGUGACACGGCUUGCUUGGGUUAUAGCACGGUUUGGACUGAUGAAUGAGUAUUGAGUUGCCGGUUCCACUUCCAGCUCGUGCAGAUCUGUGACAGGCACGGCUGAGGAAGGUUGUUGUGCCCAUAUAAUUUGGGAGCUGGUACAAUUAUACGGCUGCUGAUGAUGAUUAACACGGUGCAAGGCCCACGAAUGAAUGAACGUCGCCAUUGUGCACACACACGUACAUGCAUCGCCUUGCAUGGCCCCGGCCGGAGCCGGACGCGCUCAGUUAAGGCGUGCGGCGGAGCGCAUCCCAUGCUCUAGGUCGGAAAUCAAGUCCGCAACGCCAGGCUUGUUUAAUGGCGACUGAAGAAGCAGUCGUACGCGUUGCCUUUCUACUCCACUUGAAUUCGCUACACCGGCCCGCCCGAUCGAUCUACUCCAUGCUCGAAGUCGCCAUUGGCCGCUAGCCCUCUAGGCUCUAGCUAGUAGCUACCGUCUAGCUAGAUCUCCCUGGCUCUCGCUGUGCCGAUCGAGCGAGCUGGCGCACGUACGGCCGAUCAAAUUGAUCUGCAACCCUCUUCAUGGCGUUCUACCAGCCACUGCGUGCGCGGGCCACAAAUCCCGAAAUAUCUUGGCCUCACACGACAGGCACGUUGUGGAGUAGGGACGCCGGGGAACGGGAGGGGAGUUUUGAAUAUCCGACAAGGGUCUGGAUUUUGUAAAUGUUCUCGCUCUGUGUAGGCGCCGUGGUGAUCUAGAGGACAAUACUGUGCCUCCCACACGUCCGGCCGGUACUGCAAUUUGUUCCACAACAGGUUUUGCACGGAUGAGGAGAUAUGAAUAGAUCACCCGCCUACAAAUGUGCGAGCGUCGCCUCAUAUAGCUCGAAAGCCUGGCCAAUUCCUGGGACUACUCCUCCGUCCCUACUCCCCAUAUUAGUUUUGUCUUAUGUCAAACUUUCUAAAGAUUGAUCGAGUUUAUACGAAAAAAUUAUCAACACUUGCAGUACCAAAUCAAUAUCAUUUGAUCCAUCAUAGAAUAAUUUUUCAUAUUGUAUUUACCUAGUAUUAUAAAUGUUUGUAUUCUUUUCUAAAAACUUAGUCAAAGUUUACAACGUUUGACUUAAGACAAACCUAAUAUGCAGAUUUACUUGUCGCUCAAAUAGAUGUAUCUAACACUAAAUUACGUCUAGUUUUUGGUGUAUUUUUUUUACUUGCAUGCAGUUUCCGCUGAAAAAUCUAUGUCGUGCAAUUAGGUCUGGAACCGACUAAUAAGGAAUUCCCUGAAGUUCUAAUUAGGCUAGUCACUGUUUUUGCCGUGUCCAACAGAGAUAGCUCAGUUGCACGGUGAGAAACAAAGGAAGAAAGGACGCGUUCGUGGAGGUGCAGCUCGAUUGGAUGCGCACAGACGGUGAAUUGGUUCAUUUGUGUGUUUUUCUAGACUAAUGAUUCUUCACAUUAGUGGAGCUAGCACAUGACAAUGAGAGCAAAGGAAAAACAAAAAUAAAAUAAUGUUUUAUGAGGAAAAAUGAAUCAUGAGUAGAUUAAUGCUAAAUGAAAAAACCACAAAUUUGGAAAGGGAAAUAAUAUUAUGCAACUAUGUGUAACAUAACAUAACAUAAAACCUUCUAUAGUAAUAUACUAAAACAAAAAAAUAAAAAUGAAGUUUUAUUAGGAAAUAAUGAAUUAGUGGCAUUGGUAUUACCAAAAAAAGAAAUAAAUAAAAAUAAUACCGAAUUUGCACACAAUUUACCCAUAAACUGCAUCUUUUAUAAUAUGCAAGAAUAAGCAUAAGAUAAUGGAACUUUUCAAGAAACAAAUUUCUAAGAAGAAAUGAAUUGGUGGCAUUAGUAUUACCCUUACAAAGAAAGGAAAUGAAAUAAAAACUAAAACAAAUCAAAAGAAUUAAGUUAUUCAAAAAAGAAUGAAUUGGUGGCUUUGGUAUUACCCUUUCAUAAGAAAGAAAAAAAUGACAAAAUUUGCACACAAUUUACUCAUAAUUUACGCUUUUUAUAAUAUUGUGAAGAAUAAAUUUUGCACACAAUUUACAUGGAAAUGAUACCUUCUUUUAUGAUAUGCAAGAAUAAGCUUACAAUAGUGGAUUUUUUUGGCAAAAAACAAACUCGAAUAAGGAAUGAAUUAGCGGAAUUGGUUUUACCCUUAAAUAAAAAAUAAAAUAAAUUAAAAAAUAAAAUAAAAUCAAUGUAAAAAAAUUUCUAAGUGAGAGUGAAUUCAUGUCAUUGGUACUUUUUAAUAUGCGAGAAUAUUCGCAAAUAAGGAAUGAACUAGUGGAAUUGGUAUUACCCUUAAAGAAGAAAUAAAAUGAAAUAGAAACAUAUAAUUAGUACAAUUUACACACAUAUUGUGUAGUACUCACUCCUUCCCAAAAUAUAAGGCGUGCUUUGACUUUUCUGGUCUUUAUUCUACAACUUUGACUAUAAUUUUUAGUUAUUGUAUGUCCACUAAAUUAUUAUAAUUGUACAUUAAAUAAAAUUGUUUUACAGGACAAAUACAACGUUCCCAGUUAUACAUAUUCAAUCCAUGAAAAGUUGUCCAUCAAAGACCGUGAAAAGUUAAGCGCGCAUUACAUUUUGGGAAAGAGGGAGUACUUGUGUGUAUACUAUCACACACAAAAAUAGAAAAUUACGUUUUCCCCAAAAGAAUGAAUUAGUGGCAUUGGUAUUGUUCUUUAAGAAUAAAGAAAGAAAAUAUAGUGAAUUAUUACCACAUAAUUUGGAUAUAAAUUGUGUCUUUUAUGAUAUGCAGAACAAGCAUAUAAAAGUGCAAUUUUCGCAAAGUUUUUUUAGAAUGAAUGGAUUAGUGGCAUUGAUACUACCCUUAAAGUAGAAAGAAAUGAAAUAAAAACUAAACACAAUCAAAAACUGAAGUUUUUUAAGAAAAAAUGAACUAGUGUCAUUGGUGCUAUUCUUAAAAGGGAUCUUAAAAUUGACACCCCACCCCCAGCUUUGCACUUAAAUUGUUUUUUAAUAUGCAAAGAAUAAGAAUAUUAUAGUGCAUUUUCUCAAACUAGUAAAAUUUACACACACAUUGUAUAGUGUUUGUGCAUAUAAAUUUACACUCAUCCAACAUUCCAAAAAUACUAAUAAAGAAAAAGGAAAAACAGACCAAGGGUAAAUGGACGAGCUAGUAGAGAGAUAGGUCAUUCGUUGAGCUAAAAGAGAGGGAGAGAAGAAAAGGGUGAGUCACCUCAGUGGGCUAGAGAGAGGAGGGCACAUGAAUAAAGGGGUAAGAGCAUCUCCAGCCGCGCCCCCAACUGGCCCCCCAAGGCGAUUUUUUAGCGCCGGCGCCCAAAAAUCGGCCCGCUCGCGCCCCCAUGAGCCUGUUUUUCGCCGGUUUGGGCCAAAAUUGUUGGGGAACGUAGCAUGCAAUUUCAAAAAAAUAUCCUACGCUCACGCAAGAUCUAUCUAGAAGAUGCAUAGCAACGAGAGGGGGAGACUGUGUCCACGUACCCUCGUAGACCGAAAGCGUAAGCGUUAACUUAACGCGGUUGAUGUAGUCGAACGUCUUCUCGAUCCAACCGAUCAAGCACCGAACAUAUGGCACCUCCGAGUUCUGCACACGUUCAGCUCGAUGACGUCCCCGGAACUCUUGAUCCAGCAAAGUGUCGAGGGGAGAGUUUCGUCAGCACGACGGCGUGGUGACGGUGAUGGUGAAGUGAUUCGCGCAGGGCUUCGCCUAGGCACUACGUGAAUAUGACCGGAGGCGUAAACUGUGGAGGGGGGCACCGCACACGGCUUGGAAAAAUUGAUGUGUGUUAGAGGCGCCCCCACCCCCGUAUAUAAAGGAGGGAGAGGGGAGGAGGCCGGCCCUAGGCACGCCACAACUAGGAGGAGUCCUACUUGGGCUCCUAGUAGGAUCCCCCCUUCCUUCUAUCGGAGGGGGGAAGGGGGAAGCAGAGAGAGGGGGAGAAGGAAAGGGGGGUGCCGCCCCCUCCCCUAGUCCAAUUCGGACUCCUCCCUUGUGUGGGGUGCGCCACCCCUAUGUGGGCUGGUGUGCUGAUAAUCCCCAAGUGUAGGGAAUCAUCGUAGCAAUUUCCAAAGGUGGAAGUGAUAAGUAUGGAGUGUCGAACCCACAAGGAGCUAAAGGUAAGAUCAAUAUUCUCUCAAGUCCUAUCUGCCACUGAUACGACUCUACGUACACCGAACGUUUGCUUCCAACUUGAUACGAGAAAUAAAUCUACGUUGUGGGUAUGAAGAGGAUAACUUUGCAUGAUAUCGGAGAGCUAAAAUAUAAAAGUAGGUGCUGUUAUCAUAAAGUUAAAAUAUAUUACUAAAUAUUAUAAAUAGCGAGUGUGGAAUAAUGAUGGGUCAGUGUGCGGAAUUGUCCUAUGCAAUUGUUAACAAGAUCGGUAAUCACCAUUGCAAUUUCAUAUGAGGGAGAGGCAUAAGCUAACAUACUUUCUCGUCUUGGAUCAUAUGCACUUAUGAUUAGAACUCUAGCAAGCAUCCGCAACUACUAAAGAUCAUUAAGGUAAAACCCAACCAUGGCAUUAAAGCAUCAAGUCCCCUUUAUCACAUACGUCGUGACCCACUUAUCCGUGUUUAUGCUUCUGUCACUCAAGCAACACAGACAAUAAGUAAACCAUGGACAUAUUGCAACACCCUACAGCGGGAAUCCCUCACGCUUGCGCGACACGGAGGGCACCAUAGGACAGCACCAAAAUAAAACAUACAACUCAUACCAAUAUAGAUCAUCAGUCAACCCAAAGACAAAGGAUAUCUACUCAAAACAUCAUAGGAUGGCAACACAUCAUUGGAUCAUAAUAUGUGGCAUAAAGCACCAUGUUCAAGUAGGGAUUAGAGCGGGGUGCGGGAGAGUGGACCGCGUAAAAGAGAUGGGGAUGGUGAUGAUGAUGGUGUAUUUGAUGAAGACGAUCACCGCGGCGAUGAUUCCCCUCCCGAUGGCACUCUGGUGCCACCGAGAGAGAGGAGGAGAGGUCCUCCCCCUUGUGCUUCCUCCUCCAUGGCCUCCCCCUGGAUGGGGAGAGGUUCUCCCUCUGGUCCUUGGCCUUCAUGGCGAUGAUGGCACCUCCGGGAUCCUCCUCCAUGGCCUCCGAUGAUGAUGGCCCCCUCCGGCAGGGUGCCAGAGAGGGCCUAGAUUGAUUUCUCAUGGCUACAGAGGCUUGCGGCGGCGGAACUUCCGAUCUAGGUUAAUUUCUGGAGGUUUUUGUAUUUAUAGGAGAGGUUGGCGUCGAAAACAAGUCAGGGGGCCCCACAGGUAGUCCACGAGGCACAGGGGCGCGCUCCCACCCUCGUGGGGCCCCCGGGACUCCCCUCCGGUAGAUUUUUGUUCCAGUAUUUUUUAUGUUUUCCAGAAAAAUUCUCCGUUGAUUUUCAGCGCAUUCCGAGAACUUUUAUUUCUGCACAAAAACAACACCACGGUAGUUCUGCUGAAAACAACGUCAGUCCGGGUUAGUUCUAAUCAAAUCAUACCAAGAUCAUAUAAAACAAUAGUAAACAUGGCAUGAAUACUUCAUAAAUUAUCGAUACAUUGGAGACGUAUCAGCAUCCCCAAGCUUAAUUCCUGCUCGUCCUCAAGUAGGUAAAUGAUAAAAGAAAUAAUUUAUGAAGUGUGAAUGCUAGCAAGUGCACAAGUUUGAUCAAUGAUAAUUUCAAUCACCUUUUCUAGCAUUAUUAUAUGUCAUAACAGUAGCUCAUCUCAUAAAACUUUUCAUGAUCAAGUAACAAGCUAUUCACAUGUUAAAGUAUAGAUCAUAAACUUUCUUGAAACUAACAAACUAUAUUCUCAGUCAUCAAACAAUUGCAAUUCAUCUUAUUUUCAGGAUUGGUCUAUGUUAGAGCUUUGAUUCAGCAAACUCCACAUACUCAACUAUCAUUUAAUCUCACGUGAUAUUCAUGGAUUCAAAGUUUUAAUCGGACACAGAGAAAGAUAGGGGCUUAUAGAUUCGCCUCCCAACCUUUUACCUCAAGGGUAAAGUCAACAAUAAUAGUUGAUGAUAACUUACAUCUAAUUGGAUAUAUAUAUCCGGAUCGCUCCAACACAAAGUGCUUGCCAAACGAAAAAAUAUAAAAAAGGAAAGGUGAAGAUCACCAUGACUCUUGUUUAAGGUAUAAGACAAGAAUAAAGCAUAGGCCCUUCGCAGAGGGAAGUAGAGGUUGUCAUGUGCUUUUAAGGUUGGAUGCACAAAAUCUUAAUGCAAAAGAACGUCACUUUAUAUUGCCUCUUGUGAUAGAGACAUUUAUUAUGCAGUCCGUCGCUUUUAUUUCUUCCCUAUCACAAGUUCGUAUAAAGCUUAUUUUCUUCGCACUAAUAGAUCAUACAUAUUUAGAGAGCAAUUUUUAUUGCAUGCACCGAUGACAACUUACUUGAAGGAUCUUACUCAAUCCUUUGGUAGGUAUGGUGGACUCUCAUGGCAAAGCUGGUUUAAGGGAUGUUUGGAAGCACAGGUAGUAUUUCUACUUGGUUCAAAGAAUUUGGCUAGCAUGAGAGCGAAAGGCAAGCUCUACAUGUUGGAUGAUCCAAGACAAUAUAAUGUUUCAGAUAUAGGAAAACAUAACCCAUUAAGUUGUCUUCCUUGUCCAACAUCAACUUUUUAGCAUGUCAUAUUUUAAUGAGUGCUCACAAUUACAAAAUAUGUCCAAGAUAAUAUAUUUAUAUGUGAAAUCUCUCUUCCUUCAAUAUUCUUUCAUGAAUUGUUCAAGUGACCAAUUCUGCGUUUGCUAACUUUCAAUAAGUUUACUACCUAUACUUAUUAUAUGUGAAGUCAUUACUCCCCAUGUUAUAAGCAUAUGAAACGUAUAUAAAUUCAGAUUCAUGGUAUUCAAUUCAUUCAACCAUUUACUCAUAGGAUAUAUGUGAAGCACGUGAGUAAAUGAAAAACUACUCCAAAAAGAUAUAUAAGUGAAGAACACUGAGUAGUCAGAUAAUUAACUAGCCAUGGGAGGAUUCUUUUUCAUUCGAGAUUUUAGAUCCAAUGAUUUUAUUCAAACAACAAGUAAAAUUGAAAAUACGCUCCAAGCAAAACACAUAUCAUGUGACGAAUAAAAAUAUAGCUCCGAGUAAGGUAUACUGAUAGUUUUGAAGACAAAAGAGGGGAUGCCUUGCGGGGCAUCCCCAAGCUUAGGCGCUUGAGUCUUCCUUUAAUAUUACCUUGGGGUGCCUUGGGCAUCCCCAAGCUUAGGGACUUUCCACUCCUUAUUCUCCUCAUAUCGAUAUCUCACCCAAAGCUUGAAAACUUCAAUCACCCAAAACUUAACGGAACUUCGUGAUAUAGGUUAGUAUGAUAAAGAGUAAACCAUUCACCUUGGUACUGUCAAAGACAAGGUUUAUAAUUGUUCUCACACAAUUCCUACUGUACCAUAUCAUUUCUACAAUUUAUAUUGAGAAAUAUAAGCCAUAGAAACUAGAAAACAAGCAAACUAUGCAAUGAAAACAGAAUCUGUCAGAAAUAGAACAGUCUGUAAUGAUCUGAACAGCAACCAUACUUCUGCUGCUCCAAAAAUUAUGAAAUAAAUUGGUGGACGUGAGGAAUUUGUCUAUAGAUCUGCUGCAAAAAGAAUCAACUCAAAAGCGCUCUUCUGUGAAAAAUGACAGCUAAUCUCGUGAGUGCAAAGUUUCUGUUUUUUACAGCAAGAUCACAUUAACUUUCACCAAAGUCUUCCCAAAAGUCUUACUUGGCACUUUAUUGAAACAAAAGCUAUAAAACAUGAUUACUACAGUAGCUUAAUCAUGUGAACACACAAAAACAGUAAGGGUAAGUAUUGGGUUGUCUCCCAACAAGCGCUUUUCUUUAAUGCCUUUUAGCUAGGCAUGAUGAUUUCAAUGAUGCUCACAUAAAAGAUAAGAAUUGAAACAUAAGAGAGCAUCAUAAAGAAUAUGACUAGCAUAUUUAAAUAUAACCCACUUCCUAUGCCUAGGGAUUUUGUGAGCACAUAAUUUAUGGGAACAAGAAUCAACUAGCAUAGGAAGGCAAAACAAGUAUAACUUCAAAACUUUAAGCACAUAGAGAGGAAACUUGGUAUUAUUGCAACUCCUACAAGCAUAUAUUCCUCCCUCAUAAUAAUUUUUAGUAGCAUCAUGAAUGAAUUCAACAAUAUAACCAUCACAUAAAGCAUUCGUUUCAUGAUCUACAAGCAUAGAAAUUUUUCUACUCUCCACAUAAGCAAAAUUCUUCUCAUUCGGAAUAGUGGGAUCACUAAUUCCUAAAGUUGACAUUUUUCCAAACCCGCUUAAGAUGAUAGUAUUAUUCAUACUCCAAAAGAUAUAAGUGAAGUUCAUGGAUCAUUCUACAAUUAAUAUAGACUAACCAAUAUCCAAGCUCAAAAUAUGUAAGUGAAGCACACGAAGCAUUAUAUAAAACCAUACUCAAAAGAUUUAAGUUAAGUACAAAGAGCAAUUCCAGAAGAUCAUACUUAAAAGACAUAAGUGAAGCACAUGAAGUAUUCUAUAAAUAAAUGAAGGGCUAUCUCAUACUAGCAUGUUUCUUAAGGGAAAAACAAAAACACAAAGGACACAAAUCAUGUGAACAAAACAAAAACUGAGGUAUACCGAUAAUUGUUGAAGAAGAAAGAUGGGAUGCCAACCGGGGCAUCCCCAAGCUUAGAUGCUUGAGUAUCUUUGAAAUAUUUACUUGGGAUGCCUUGGGCAUCCCCAAGCUUGAACUCUUGCCUCUCUUUAUUCUUCUCAUAUUGAUAGCUCCUCGAUCUUCGAACACUUCAUCCACACAGAACUUUGACAAAAACUUUGUGAGAUCCGUUAGUGUAAUAAAGCAAACUACCACUUUAAGGUACUGCAAUGAAAUCAUUCUUUAUUUAUAUUGGUGUUAAACCUACUGUAUUUGAAAUUCUCUAUGGUUCAUACCCCCCGAUACUAGCCAUAGAUUCAUCAAAAUAAGCAAACAACACGCGAAAAACAGAAUCUGUCAAAAACAGGACAGUCUGUAGUAAUCUGGAAGUUUAGUAAACUUCCAUAACUCCAAAAAUUAUGAAAUAAAUUCGAAAAUUUGAAAAAAUUGUGCAGAAGUAAUGUGCAAAAAGUUUCAGACCCAUUUGACCUUCCAGUAAAAAAUGUAAAAUCACACGCUACAGACAAAGUUUCUGUUUUUGUUCUGCACAUAGUAAACAAGCAAUCUAAUCAUCCUAAAACCAAAGCUUGGCACAUUAUUUUUAUAAUACAAUGGAUAUACACAAGGGGGUAAUUAUUUUCAGAGAAACUUCCAUGAAAAAUUCUACAUUGUUUCUGUGAGCAUGAAUACAACUGCUCAAGGUCGACCCUCACUUCUUCAAUGCAUAACUUUCCAAUCACUUCUCUUUUUGAAAAACUUUUUAGGCAUGAUAGGCAAGCAAAAGUUUUUGUCUUUUCAUUCUUUGAAUUUUUUUGUAUGUUUCACCCACAACUAAACAUAAACAAAAAGGAAAAACAAAAUCUACUUAGUGGAGAAAGCAAACAAGCACACACGAGAAUAUCAACCACACGCUAUUGCUCCCCGGCAACGGCGCCAGAAAAGAGCUUGAUAAUCCCCAAGUGCAGGGAAUCAUCAUAGCAAUUUUCAAAGGUGGAAGUGAUAAGUAUGGAGUGUCGAACCCACAAGGAGGUAAAGGUAAGAUCAAUAUUCUCUCAAGUCCUAUCUGCCACUGAUACGACUCUACAUACACCGAACGUUUGCUUCCAACUAGAUACGAGAAAUAAAACUACGUUGUGGGUAUGAAGAGAAUAACUUUGCAUGAUAUCGGAGAGCUAAAAUAUGAACGUAGGUGUUGUUAUCAUAAAGUUAGAAUAUAUUACUAAAUAUUAUAAAUAGCGAGUGUGAAAUAAUGAUGGGUCGGUGUGCGGAAUUGUCCUAGGCAAUUGUUAACAAGAUCGGUAAUCACUAUUGCAAUUUCAUAUGAGGGAGAGGCAUAAGCUAACAUACUUUCUCGUCUUGGAUCAUAUGCACUUAUGAUUGGAACUCUAGCAAGCAUCCGCAACUACUAAAGAUCAUUAAGGUAAAACCCAACCAUAGAAUUAAAGCAUCAAGUCCCCUUUAUCCCAUACGCGGUGACCCAGUUAUCCGUGUUUAUGCUUCUGUCACUCAAGCAACGCAGACAAUAAGUAAACCAUGGACAUAUUGCAACACCCUACAGCGGGAAUCCCUCACGCUUGUGCGACACGGAGGGCACCAUAGGACAUCACCAAAAUAAAACAUACAACCCAUACCAAUCUAGAUCAUCAAUCAGCCCAAAUACAAAGGAUAUCUACUCAAAACAUCAUAGGAUGGCAACACAUCAUUGGAUCAUAAUAUGUGGCAUAAAGCACCAUGUUCAAGUAGGGAUUACAGCGGGGUGCGCGAGAGUGGACCGCAUAAAAGAGAUGGGGAUGGUGAUGAUGCUGGUGGUGUUGAUGAAGACGAUCACCGCGGCGAUGAUUCCCCUCCCGAUGGCACUCCGGCGCCACCGAGAGAGAGGAGGAGAGGUCCUCCCCCUUGUGCUUCCUCAUCCAUGGCCUCCCCCUGGAUGGGGAGAGGUUCUCCCUCCGGUCCUUGGCCUUCAUGGCGAUGAUGGCCCCUCCGGGAUCCUCCUCCAUGGCCUCCGGUGAUGAUGGCCCCCUCCGGCAGGGUGCCAGAGAGGGCCUAGAUUGAUUUCUCGUGGCUACAGAGGCUUGCGGCGGCGGAACUUCCGAUCUAGGUUAAUUUCUAGAGGUUUCUGUAUUUAUAGGAGAGGUUGGCGUCGAGAACAAGUCAGGGGGCCCCAUAGGUAGUCCACGAGGCACAGGGGCGCGUCCAGGGGGGUGGGUGUCGGUGUCAAAACCGGCGGAUCUCGGGUAGGGGGUCCCGAACUGUGCGUCUAAGGUUGAUGGUAACAGGAGACAGGGGACACAAUGUUUACCCAGGUUCGGGCCCUCUCUAUGGAGGUAAUACCCUACUUCCUGCUUGAUUGAUCUCUAUGAAUAUGAGUAUUGCAAGAGUUGAUCUACCACGAGAUCGUAGUGGCUAAAACCCUAGAAGUCUAGCCUGUAUGACUAUGAUUAUGAGUCCUCGGCCCUACGGGCCUAACCCUCCGGUUUAUAUAGACACCGGAGGGAACUAGGGUUACAUAAAGUCGGUUAUAGAGAAAUAAAUCUUCAUAUUUGGUCGCCAAGCUUGCCUUCCACGCCAAGGAGAGUCCCAUCCGGACACGGGAGAAAGUCUUCGGUCUUCAUAUCUUCACAGCUCAUCAGUCUGGCCCACGUCUAAUAGGUCGGACGCCCGAGGACCCCUUAGUCAAGGACUCCCUCAGUAGCCCCUGAACCAGGCUUCAAUGACGAGGUGUGCGGCGCACAGAUUGUCUUCCGCAUUGCAAGGUGGAUUCCCUUUCCCGAAUACUCCAAGAUAGUCUUCGGACGCAACGAACGUGUCUGGAUCUGCAACAUAAGUACCCCAACACAACCGCAGAGAGUAUAAUAUUUCACGAGUCCAAUCCGCUGACAACUUUUUGUAGUGUGACAUCACGUCUGCUCGGUCAUUAUUUCCAACCGUUUCUUGUCCUGCCGUUCCACGUUUCGAGGCGCGGUGUUUAUUGGCACGUCUUGUCGAGGCGGAGAUCGUGUCCCCUUAUCAUGGGAUUCUCAUCAAUACGAGCGUGGGUAACCCAACCGUCCAACGGCAUGAUUCCUUAGGAAUAGGCAGGUUUCCGGGUUUAGGAGGAGGCGUUUGAUAUCCAUCGCCUUUAUAAAGGAGCUAAGGGCCGUCUCUUUCUUUUAUCCCAAGCCCUUCCAACCUCGAGUUCCAGCACCCAAGGUUCGACUUCAUUGCUUCCAGCUUCCCAAUCAUGUCCGAACCCAGCCCACAGGGCCGAUGGGUGGCUUCCUCUAUUAUAGAGGAGGACAUUGCAAAGCUCCGGGUGGCCAGAUACCUGACCGCGGAGAUCCCUCAUAGGCUUCCUGCUCAAGGACAGGUUAUUCCGACUCCCAGAUCCGGCGAGAGGGUCGUAUUUAUCUCUCACUUCCUCCGAGGGCUAGGAUUCACCCUUCAUCCCUUCGUUCGGGGGCUUAUGUUUUAUUACGGACUAGAUUUUCAUGAUCUAGCCCCAGAUUCUUUCCUCCACGUCUCGGCGUUUACCAUCACGUGAAGCCAAAGGUAGUCGACGGGAAACAGACGGGGUGCGGCGGUGCCAUAGUGAGCAAGUUUACCAAUACUUUCUGGCCAAAAGGCUCUUUCACCGAAACUUCCAACCUAUGGCAGCGGGAGUGGUUUUACGUCACGGAACCCCGCGGUACCAAGUGGGCAGCUAUACCUGCGUUCCGACCUGGCCCUCCGUUACAGCUUGCAUCAUGGAUUAAUAAGGGGCUGGACUGGGGAUCAAUUGACGAAGUGUAGACUCUACAGAGCCGCAUCCAAAGCCUCCUAGAAAAGGACAUCGAUCUCGUCAACGUAAUUCAAGUAAUGCUAGUCCGCCGGGCCUUGCCGUGCCAACGACGGCCUCUCCGUAUGUGGGAGUUUAAUCCGGAAGGACCACAGACCCUCCAACACUUCUUCGGCACUACGCACAAAGGAAUGUGGAAGUUGUUUUUCGGGAAACGAAAACAGUGGCCGGACACCACCGAGGACAUCGGCCUCGACUGCAACCAUCCGGAUACCUCGGUAAGCGCUCGACACCCGAACAAAUUUUAAUCAGGUAUGCCGUAAUACGAUACUGAGCAAACUAUCUUCUUCCAGGGCUGGAUAAAGAAAGCGGAGCGAAUUAGGUGUUUGGCCCCCCUUCCCGAAGACUCAGCAAAUCCCGUGCUAACAAGGAUGCUGGCCCCGGCACCGUACAAGGUGCCCGUGGAGAAGGACAAGGCGGAGAGCGGGAAUACCAAAGGUGGCCUCCCUUCUGAAGGUAUGUUAGACACUGUGUCCGGGGAGAUCAAAGUUCCCUCGUCCGAAGACAAAAGUGAGGGAGAAGCCAACAUCCCUUCUCCCUGUGGUAAGAAAAGGGCCGCCUCCGAAGAUUGGGAGGAAAAGGCUCCUAAGCGAGGCAAGAUGCCCCUGUCGGGCGGCUCGGGCUUGGAGGACGACGUCGUCGCACAGUCCCACAGUGAGGACAAGCCCUUAGCCAAAUCGUAAGUGAACAAGGGUAUUCUAAACAUAUCCCGUUCUUUUCCUGUUACAAAGGUAACAUCUAGAAUAUAUGUUUUUGCAGCUUGGCACACAGUCUUCUUCCACAAUCCUCUUCCUCGGGGGAUCUUCUCCCAGAGAUGAUGGAAAGCGAAACGCCUCCACCGGCCUCCUCUCCCAAUAGGGCGACGACUUUGAGGUGUCGUCCCGGAGGGUCUCUCCUGAUCAACAAGUGGUGCGAGGGAUGAUGAAGACAUUACCCGAAGGUGACACUUCGGAUGCCCAAGGUUCGGGGGCCAACAAUAAAGGCCCCGGAUUAUCCGGUUUACAGCCGGAGGCGACUCAAGGGACGAAUAAACGGAUCCAUUCGAAGGAAGGCCGUACUCAUAUAGUGGUUCUCGGAGAUCAAGAAGCGCCGGAUACCUUGACGAACAUGCUGCAACAAGCGUCCGUCUCGGAGGAACAUCGUACCUUGAUGGGUACGGUGGUGGAAAGGAUUCUGUCCGCGAAAAGCGGAUUGAAUGAAGCCUUCACGAGCCUGCUAAGAGGCUUCGAGGUUUGUAAUGUAAUGUUUUGAUUGUGCUUUAUUCGCAAAAUUCACCUGUGUAUAGAUAGUUGCCCCUGAGACUCUGAUUGGCUUCCCAAGGGAGGCGAUCAGAGGAUCAAAAAGAUAUGCCCAGGAAAUAAUCUGACUAACUGGAACACAGGUAGUUACCUCCCUGGCUACUGCCCGAGCUAGAGAGGUUGCAGAUCUGCAACGGAAGAUUGACGAGGCGGAUGAUGACAUCACGCUUAUCAACAGGCGGCUUGACGACGCGCAAGGUAUGUUUUUGGGGCAGUCAUUAUAUGCACGUGCUUAGAAUAUAAGCAUGAUGCUAAGAAUUGUAUAUUGAGAUAUGUAUGACUGCAGAUGGUGCUGCCGCAGUUGAGAUCCUUCGGGCUGAGCUAGCCCGGGCCAAGGAGCAGGCCCGGAUUAGUAAUGCGGCUGCCGAAAAGGCAUAUGCCGAGUUAAAUGCCGAACAGGCUGCUCGGCACCAAUACGAGGAGAGAAUAUCCACGAUGGCGCGUGAGCUAAAGGAUGCCUAUAGCCGAUGCGAAUUCCUCAAGAAGGAUAAUAAAGCCAAAACGGUUGAUCUUGACAAGGCCUUACGAGAGGCGAAAGAAGCGCGGUCCAAAUCUAGAGCGGCCCGGGAGGAGAUCCGGCAAGCUGGGGAGACCGCGGCUGGUAAGCCCUUUUUAUUAUAAACUAAGUCCGGCGAUCCGAAUUAUGCCCCGCGUAAUCAAGUGUGGAGUUCUCCAGACGAGUUAUUGGAUUUGCCGAAGAGUGCUUCCGAUGCGGCGCAGUUUUACCAAGCGCAAGAAGGGUAUGUGACGGAGAAGCUUUUCUGGUCACAAUUCGGUGUGCCAAAGCGCCCACUGUUGCUGAAUGAACAGAUGACCCAAUGGGCCGAGCUCCACAGACUAUCCGGUUCUGCCAUGAAGGACGUCGUGGUCGGGCUGUGGCCGACCGAGCCCAUUUCGGAUAGUUAUUUUGGUUUGGUGCGGCGACUUGCUGGUGCGGUGUCGCGUAUCGACGCCGUUAAGCGGUCAGCGUGCAAUGAGGGUGCACAGAUGGCCUUUGCCCGUGUCAAGACAUACUGGGCGAAGAUGAAGGCCACCGAUGUUGCAGCAAAGAAUCCACCCAAGGGCAAGGACCAUCACACACCAGAGCAUUAUUUCAUGGAUGUCUUAGAGGGUGCCCGCUUGAUAGAGGGUCAAUGCUCGAAAAACAUGAUAUUCGAGUGAAAUGUAUGGAAAUUGUAAAAGACAAUAUUAUGAUAAGGCUAUUUUAUUUUUAGUUUCGCCUAAAACUUUUGUUCCUCCUGUGCGGCCAUUUUUGUAUAAUCUGAAAGUUUUCCAGUCGUCGGCUUCAGCCCCCUCGUGUAAAGCACGGGGGUGUUUGCAAAAGCAUUUGAGAACUCUUAACCCAACGUCUUGGUCCAUGAAGGAGGUGUCAAUGCGGCGAACUAGGCAAUCAGACUAUAGGGCGUUAACACUUUCACUUAGCCAUAGGAGUUUUAUGGUGGGUCUACGAUAUAGCCCCUGGUAUGUACACAACUUAUUCAAUACGGUGCGUUACAUAUAUGACCUGGAAAAGAGGUCCUUCGUAUAAUAUGAGGGGAAUCGCGAAAGAUUCCGAUAAGUCAUCGAGUGGUUGACCAGCUCUCGCUGCAUCAUGACAGUCAGUUUUCGGCUUUCUCUACUGAGGUGCUUGACCAGAUGAAUUGGAAGCACAAUCACAGUAGUUCUCCCUUUACUACCCUAGCCGAUAUAGCGGAACGUAAGGUAGCAAGCACAGGAGCCAGGCAACCCAACUAUUGAGCCAAGACAUGAUUCGGAGCUGAUGCAUAUAAGGCCAAACUCGCGACGCCGAAGUAUGCUAUAAAGCUGUUCGGACUUGUCGGCAAACUCAUUUGUUCCCAUGCCGAGCCCCUGGCAAGUUAUGCCGAGGUGUGUGUGAAACAACCAACGGAGUAAAAUUCCAUUCUUUGGGAAAAAGCGAAUACUGAAUAUGGAUUAUGUUCACUGGGAUCUGAGUGAUAUGCCAAUCGUUAUUUUACAGAUAUCAACACCACAACCCUGGCUAUUUGACAUGCCAGGCGUCGGAGGCUGAGGAAAAAGGCACUUUACAGGCUCGAAAUAGAGAGUGCGGUCUAUAAAAAGUUAUUUUGGACCUCCUGUCGCACGUCUGCGCCGCCUUUCCUUGGUAAAGGGGCUCCUUGACAGGAAUAGCCCUUGGGUGAGAGUAUGAACCUGAACUUCGAUAGAGUCCGUGAGAUGACCAGCCUUUGAGCCACCUAUGGGAAGGAUAAUAAAAAAAAGAGUAGUUAGAAAAAGGGGAGGGGGUUAUGGGUGUACUUGUAGGCCCGUCCGUAUUGUGCUUCUGCCGAUGCCCAGGGUAUUUUAAGUGCAUAGUUAUGUAUGCACGGUACAGUUUUCGCAGGUGUAUGAGGCGGACGGUGGAAGCCGAACUGCUAGUCCAGCUCCGAAAUUGGUCGGUCUUGCUGAAUGGAGACCGGCGGCUUAAUGGCCGACAAGUUAUGCGGUUUAAUAAGACCGCUUUGUACUUAGGCUGAAGUGACCGUAGUAUGAUCCUCAGUCCGGAGGGAGUGCUUCUCAUGCUCCCCUGUAGAGGUGUGUGUCAUGUAUACCAUGUUCACUGUUUUUACUUCGGGGGGAAAUUGCUUCUAACCCCCGGUAUUUGGUUGGUGAGUCUCUUCGCCGUUGCUAUCACCGGGCGGCCUCUUCCCCUUGUGUUCGGCGUUGAUCUUGCCGGCCUGUUUGAAGACCCAACAGCUUCUGUUGGUGUGAUUCGCUGGUCUAUCGGGGUUGCCAUGUAUCUGGCAGGGCCGAUCCAAUAUCUUGUCUAAAUUGGAUGGUCCGUCCCUGUUUUCCUUGAAUGGCUUUUUCCGUUGACCGGGUUUGGGGCCGCUAAAUCCGGCAUUGACCGUUGUGUCGUGCGUUCUUUCAUUAUCAUUGCGACGUUUGUGUUUACAGCGUCGUGGCUUGCCAUUGCCGUCUCGGACUUCGGAAGUGCCCGGAUCGCUGGCGCUGUUGCUUCUACGAGCGAGCCAGCUGUCUUCUCCCGCGCAAAAGCGGGUCAUCAGAGUGGUAAGCACUGACAUAGAUUUUGGUUUUUCUUGACCGAGGUGGCGGGCGAGCCACUCGUCCUGGACGUUGUGUUUGAAUGCCGCUAGGGUUUCCGCGUCCGGUCAUUCGACAAUUUGGUUCUUUUUAACUAAGAACCUAGUCCAGAGCUUCCUGGCUGACUCUCCAGGCUGCUGGACGAUGUGACUUAACUCAUUAGCAUCUGGUGGCUGGACAUAUGUACCUUGAAAGUUGUCGUGGAAGGCAUCUUCCAAAUCCUCCCAACUGCCAAUAGAGUUUCCAGGCAGACUGUUUAGCCAGUACCGAGCUGGCCCUUUGAGUUUUAGUGGGAGGUAUUUGAUGGUAUGAAGGUCAUCCCCGCGGGCCAUAUGGAUGUGGAGAAGGAAAUCCUCGAUCCAUACCGCGGGGUCAGUUGUUCCAUCAUAUGAUUCGAUAUUCACGAGUUAAAACCUUCUGGGAAUUCGUGCUCCAUUACUUCGUCUGUGAAGCAAAGAGGGUGUGUGGCGCCUCUAUAUUGGACCACAUUGCGACGUAGCUCCGAUGGAAUCCGUCUGCGGUAUUCGGCCUGGGUGUGACUAGGCUUGUCACGUCCGAAUAGAUAGCCGUCGUCACGUGUCGGGGCACGUCCUCGCGAUCCGUAGAUCGAUCUGGUAUGUCCUGCUCUACUGUCCAGGUCCUGCCGAAGGUCAUAUGUAUAACCACGAGCUGUUUUAUUUCUGCCUAUACGAGGAGGCGGAUCGGGCUGGUGUUUGGCCUGAGUUGCCGCUUUAUCCCGACCACGUGGUGGUCGGUUAGCCGCAUUGCGCGAUGAUGGUACGGGCUCCGGCACCUCGUUGUCGAACUGAGGUAGCAAUUUGCGCUUCGGGUAGCUUUUGGCUGGGCACUUGAGGCCGUAUUCUUCGGCUGCUAGGACAUUGGUCCAUCUAUCGUUGAGCAGGUCUUGGUCAGCUUGAAGCUGCUGCUGCUUCUUUUUCAGGCUCCUUGCAGUGGCUAUUAGCCGGCGCUUGAAGCGCUCCUGCUCGAGAGGUUCCUCGGGCACGAUGAAAUCCUCGUUGCCGAGGCUCACCUCAUCCUCGGAGAGCGGAAGGUAAUUAUUGUCCUCCGAGUCGUCGUGUCUGGCCUGUUCAUCAGGGCUAAAUUUCCCAUUUUCCCGUUCCUCCAUUUCGGAGGUUGCCCCAACAGGGUCUUCGUUGUCUUCGGCAUCGUCCGGAGUAUUGUUUUCUCCGAUGCUGGUAUUGCUAUCUUUUGCACGACGUGACUUAGAGCGGCGCCGCUGACGCCGGCGUCUGGGCUGUGUCUCAGGAGGUUUAUCCUCGACUCGAUCUUCUUUGUCAUCGUCGUUAGUUUCUUUAGGUGUAUCCACCAUAUAUAUUUCGUAUGAAGAAGUGGCCGUCCAGCGUCCGGUAAGCGGCGGGUUUUGGCCCUGCUCCUCAUCGGCAUCGUCGUCCAUACUGUCGAUGUCCUCGGAGCCAUAAUCAAGCAUGUCGGUUAAGUGAUCAACAGUGGCUAUGAAGUGGGUGGCGGGUGGGAAGCGAAAUUCUCCAUCGUCAGCCUCCAGUUCAAACCAGACAUAAUUCGGCUGAGAGUCCCCCGCUAAGGAUAGAACUUUUAAUGAGUUUAGCACGUCGCCCAAAGGCGAGUGCCGGGAGAUGUCUGCGGAGCUGAAUUCGAGGAUCGAUGACUGAUCAAGGUCGACGUAUGCGGACUCACAAGGUUCGGAACCCGUAGCCGGAGACGAGUCCGUGGUUCCGGUGACACAGAUGUCACUUGAAGUUAGGUCUGUGUGCGGCUCCAACGCCGCUGAGUCUGCGGCUUCCGUGGUGGGGUUGAGCCUCCCGUCCUCGGAUGGCGCGAUCUGCUCCGGAUCUAAGGCCAGAGCGAUUACAGGUUCAAUUUCCUGGGUAUGGUCCGAUGACAGAUUUAUGUCAUUUCAUCGUGGUGGCAGAGAGCGGCUGCCAUGGUCUCGAAUCCAUCGAAGAUCAAGUCUCCACGGAUAUCCGCGAGGUAGUUCAAGCUUCCAAAUCUGACCUGAUGGCUAGGGGCGUAGCUUUCGAUCUGCUCCAGAUGGCCAAGCGAGUUGGCCUGCAGUGCGAAGCCGCCGAAUACAAAGAUUUGCCCGGGGAGGAAGACCUCCCCUUGGACAGCGUUGUUGUAGAUGAUUGAAGGAGCCAUCGAACCUUUUGACGAUGGCACAGCGGAACUCUCAAUGAAAGCACCAAUGUCGGUGUCAAAACCGGCGGAUCUCGGGUAGGGGGUCUCGAACUGUGCGUCUAAGGUUGAUGGUAACAGGAGACAGGGGACACAAUGUUUACCCAGGUUCGGGCCCUCUCUAUGGAGGUAAUACACUACUUCCUGCUUAAUUGAUCUUGAUGAAUAUGAGUAUUACAAGAGUUGAUCUACCACGAGAUCGUAACGGCUAAAACCCUAGAAGUCUAGCAUGUAUGACUAUGAUUAUGAGUCUUCGGCCCUACGGGCCUAACCCUCCGGUUUAUAUAGACACCGGAGGGAUCUAGGGUUACAUAAAGUCGGUUAUAGAGAAAGGAAUCUUCAUAUUUGGUGCCAAGCUUGCCUUCCACGCCAUGGAGACUCCCAUCCGGACACGGGAGAAAGUCUUCGGUCUUCGUAUCUUCACAACUCAUCAGUCCGGCCCACGUCUAACAGGUCGGACGCCCGAGGACCCCUUAGUCCAGGACUCCCUCAGUGGGCGCGCCCCCACCCUUGUGGGGCCCCCGGGACUCCCCUCCGGUAGAUUUUUGUUCCAGUAUUUUUUAUAUUUUCCAGAAAAAUUCUCCGUUGAUUUUCAGCGCAUUCCGAGAACUUUUAUUUCUCCACAAAGACAACACCACGGUAGUUCUGCUGAAAACAACGUCAGUCCGGGUUAGUUCUAAUCAAAUCAUACCAAGAUCAUAUAAAACAAUUGUAAACAUGGCAUGAAUACUUCAUAAAUUAUCGAUACGUUGGAGACGGAUCAUGUGUCUCCCUCCUAUGGCCCAUAUGGCCCAUAUCUUCCCCUCGGGGGUUCCGGUAACCCCCCGGUACUCCGAUAUAUACCCAAUACAUUCCGAAACACUUCCGGUGUCCGAAUACUAUCAUCCAAUAUAUCAAUCUUUACCUCUCGACCAUUUCGAGACUCCUCGUCAUGUCCGUGAUCUCAUCCGAGACUCCGAACAACAUUCGGUCACCAAAUCACAUAACUCAUAUAAUACAAUCGUCAUCGAACGUUAAGCGUGCGGACCAUACGGGUUUGAGAACUAUGUAGACAUGACCGAGACACCUCUCCGGUCAAUAACCAACAGUGGAACCUGGACGCUCAUAUUGGUUCCUACAUAUUCUACGAAGAUCUUUUUCGGUCAAACCGUAAUGACAACAUACGUCAUUCACUUUGUCAUCGGUAUGUUACUUUCCUGAGAUUCGAUUGUCAGUAUCUUCAUACCUAGUUCAAUCUCGUUACCGGCAAGUCUCUUUACUCGUUCCGUAAUGCAUCAUCCGGCAACUAAUUCAUUAGUCACAUUGCUUGCAAGGCUUAUCAUGAUCUGCAUUACCGAGAGGGCCCAGAGAUACCUCUUCGAUACUCGGAGUGACAAAUCCUAAUCUCGAUCUAUGCCAACCCAACAAACACCUUCGGAGAUACCUGUAGAGCAUCUUUAUAAUCACCCAGUUACGUUGUGACAUUUGAUAGCACACAAGGUAUUCCUCCGGCAUUCGGGAGUUGCAUAAUCUCAUAGUCAAAGGAAUAUGUAUAAGUCAUGAAGAAAGCAAUAGUAAUAAAACUUAACGAUCAUUAUGCUAAGCUAACGGAUGGGUCUUGUCCAUCACAUCAUUAUCCUAAUGAUGUGAUCCCAUUCAUCAAAUAACAAGUCAUGUCUAUGGUUAGGAAACUUAGCUAUCUUUGAUUAACGAGCUAGUCUAGUAGAGGCUUACUAGGGACAUUGUGUUUUGUCUAUGUAUUCACACAUGUAUCAAGUUUCCGGUUAAUACAAUUUUAGCAUGAAUAAUAAACAUUUAUUAUGAUAUAAGGAAAUAUAAAUAACAACUUUAUUAUUGCCUCUAGGGCAUAUUUCCUUCAGAAACUGGGGCCGGCGGACCCAGGCCAAACCCGACGCGCUGGGGGGCGCCGGGUCAAGCGAUUUUGGUGCGAACAAACUGUGGGCCCGCCGAGUCAGCGACCCCCGCCUCGUCGUCCUCACAAUGCCUCGGUUUCCUGCAGGGAAUCAAUGCCAAGGCUGCUGCCGGUCAGCCUUCCAUUGAAGACGGAGCCAGGGCUCGACGACGCGGCGGCCUUGAAGUGGGCAUGCGAAGACUGGGCGCGGACGGAGCUGGAGCGCCAGUGCCUCGCCCUAGAGCAGUUCGCCGCUCGGCGCCGUGGCCGCGACGAGGAAGGCGUCGUCGUCCUCGACGACGACAGCGGCGACGACGCGCCGCCACCGGUCCGCCAGGGCGACCCCAUGAAGGGGUCCAGAAGGGGCGACCACAUGAAGGAGGAGAAGGACGACGAGGACAACGGCGGCGACUUCGCCUCUCUCGGCACGUUAUUCGGCAUGUAGUCGCGGCCUCUUGUGUUUUUUAAGUAGUUUAUCUAUGUAAAAAACUAUUUCAGUUCGCCGAAGUAUGCUGUUUCGCCGAAUAUUUGUCCCGUUCGCCGAAUUUUAGUCGAAUUAAUGUUCAAAACAGUUUAAAACAGGCGCCUGGGGGCCGACCUUGGGGGCGUCGGCUGGGAACCCGAUCACCCCCCAGGCCGAUUUUAGCCCCGGUUCGCCCCCAUGCGGCGAUUUUUCGAGCCACCUGGGGGGCCGACGGCUGGAGAUGCUCUAAUGAGCUUCCACACGUCAAGGAAUCGACUGACCCAAAAACAAAGUCAUCAGUGGAAAAUAUUCAGCCCAAAAAAAGAUAGCACCAAAAUAGGGAGAAAAAAAGGAGCAUGAAUCUUGAAGCAGCACAAACACAAAAAUGAACUGACCCAAAUUAAAAAACCAGGCACUUAUAUAUAUAGUUAAAGUGAUUCAAGUUUGUACACUUGAGAUUUUCUCAUGAAAGAGGCACUUGCCAAUAAAUGCGAAAGGAGUGGAAGCGCAUGAGGGCUGUAACCACCACAGUAGUACUACGCAGCUGCCUCCUCCACUAAUAAAAGACUAGGGCUUCUCUCUCUCCUGUCGGCGCCGCCGCCGAUCCGCCUCGUCUUCGGUGACCUUAGAGCUAUGACGGCGUGGUGGAUCCCGGCCCUUGCCGGCGGGAGGCCUCCGUUUUUUGACGCUCCUUCGAGUUUUGUUAAGGUUUGUGUUAUGCUCAUGAAGACGAGACAGUGGCUGCUCUCAGAAGAUGGAAUAAGGUUCUCUCGGCCUAGCCCCGUUUCGGUAGUGCGUCUAGUAUUGGUGGUGGGCGUGUGGAGGUGUGUCUCCGGCGGAGCUGUCCUUGGUGGAUUGCUGGGAUCUGAUCUUAGUUCAUCUACAUUCGUGUUGUUCUGGUGCACUGGUCCUAUAUCUACUAUAAGAUGUUUUGCCCGGCUCCGGCGGGGAAGGGGCGAGACAACGGCUCGCUUUCGGCUCGCUUCAAUGCUUGUAGUCGUAGCUAGGUAGUGUACGGAUCUAGAUGUAACUUUUAUUGGUGUUCGUUGUACUGCCAUGAUCAAAAAUGAAUAGGUAACAAAAAUCACACAAAAGAAAAAAAAAAGAAACCACCACGUGUUGGUACCUAAAAAAUAAUCCAGACUAAAAAGCAUUCACGGAUUGUCAAGCCCGGACACAGAAUGACAGAACCAGCACGUCCUCCACGUACCGGAGGAAGAAGAAAAGGCUGAUCAUCCAUCCCCUGCUCAAGUGCUUGAGUGCCAUGCCAUUUACCUGCACAACACAGGGCCAUCUCAAACGCCAUGGCUGCAAAUUAGGAGCCGUUGCAUCCAGAAAUCUGCUGCACGUCCCGGUCGAUUUUUAAUGUGCCACUGUAUGUACGCGAGCCUGUCUGGCCGUGGCAUCGCCGUGCCAACCCUCUCAUUGUCCAUCAUAAGCUACGUACAGGGCCGUCCUGCCCGCCCUGUCUCCUCUCCUCUCCUCUCCUCUGGCGCCAACUCACACGCACUACACUCACCGGGCUGGCAAAGUUCGGAGUACCAUCCACCAGCCACGCCACGCUCAUCUCCUGACCACUAUAUAAACACCUCAUGCCCUCAUCGUUCUACUCACACAAACACAAGCUUGCAUCCAACCUUCUCCUCCUCAUCGACCUUCUUCUAGUAGUUGUUCCUAGCUAGCUGGUUGAGUGAGCGUAGUUUUGGGAGCAGCAAACGCAUGGCUCGCAUGGCAGUGUUGGGACUGGCGAUCCUGCUCGCCGCCUCGUGUGCCCUGGCGGCGGCGAGCUUCGACAAGGAGUUCGACAUCACCUGGGGUGACGGGCGCGGCAAGAUCCUCAACAACGGCCAGCUCCUGACGCUGGGGCUGGACAAGGUCUCCGGCUCCGGCUUCCAGUCCAAGC